UUUUUUUUUUUUUUUUUCCUUUUUUGUGUUUUAAAGAAAGAGCAGAAUAAAAAGCUUUAACUUCCUUUUGCAUAAUUUUAGCUUUUGUUAGGUGUAUGAAUUUGGGAGAUUAAUUAUUCUUUGUCAUUGCUUUCACAAAGCACUAAAACUUUGGUCUAAAACGGAAGUUGGGACACUGACUUUUUAGAGUGUUAUGGAAUAUAUAAAGAUUUUGAACCAACACAAAUUAGCCAAGUUGAUAGACAACCAUAUGCUAAUGUUGGCAAUGACACUUUUUAAUCAAUUUGGCGGGGCACCAAACUCAAUUCAAAUCAAAUUAUAGCUAAACCACAACAUUAAUCAAUAUAAUUAUAAAAAAAAAUACCACUAUCUUCUUAUCAUAGAUACACAUUGUAGUCCCUUUCGAUGAACUUAUAUUGUGGGUGAUAAAUUGACACUAUCUAGAGGUUUUGAUAUAAUCACUAGUCUUUACCUUCUCUAACUAACUUACUUGUCCAUCAAUAAAUGAGAAUAAAAGGUAAAAUAAGAAACUGAGAUGAAUUUAUACAUUCUUAAAAGUGAUUAACUGAUAGAAUUUAGGACGUUUGGAAUAAUUGAAUUCUAGUCAAGAUGAGCACUAAACAAAUGUAUGCCCUAUCACUCCCACUUGUAUUGGUUUUUCCAUUGAGUCCUUCAAUAGGGUAUGUGGAAGUGGAACCCAUCCAUCCUCGAGUACAAUAAAAAGAUGAUAAAUUCAAACUAUAGACCUUUUGUUUUGCUAAUACGUCAGGUAUGUAUAUGAUACAAAUCUCUCAAGUAACAAAUUAAAUACAUAUAUAUUCUCAAGAAUAAAUAAAUAAAUAAGUAAAAAUAAAGUGGUUCUUAAAAAUGGGUUUAUUAAUCUCUACUUUUCUCAACUACACAUUAGACACUUGAGUAAAUAUUCUAAUUUUUUGACAUAAUUCUAAAUAUAGUAACAAGAAAAGGGCAGUUAUGUCACUAAAACUUUCUUUGGACGAUUCAGGUGUAGCCUUGUUUACUUGGAGGAAGCUCAAAAAUUAGCCAAAACUCCCGUUCAUUCAGCCUUCUCUCGGACACAGUCUUCUUUAUGAAACAUAGCAUAUUGAUCCUCAAGUCCUACAUUCAAAGACCAAUCAUGUUGGUAAUAAUAGGGAUAUCAAAAUGCAAAACUAAACACUACAAUGCAAGUAGAGGGAAUCUCUAUAUUAUUUUCUGGUUCUUUAAAAUAUUAGUUCACGGUUGUUUUAUUUUCAUUAUCGAACAUUGGGUAUUUACAUUGACAAGUAUUUGAACACAUGUUGUGAGUCAAACAUAAAGUUUUCAAAUUUUUGUUUAAUGGUGACACUAUGAUAGAACCUAAAUAUACCAAUAUAAAUGGUAACCAAACUAUAAAAUAAACUAAAGUUUUUUCCAAUCUUGAGAUUAAUCUAAAGCCCUAGUUUACUCACCAAAAUAUUGCCUACCCUCCUCAUUCCCCUACCAUAUUUAUAACCAAGAAUAACAAACUCUCUAGCUAAUUACUAAUUACCUUCAAUACUCGGUCCCUGAUGCCAUCUCUAUCACACUAAUCACAAUGAAAAGAGACCUUGUAUUUCUUAUCAGGAAAGAAACAUAAGUUGAGUUGGCUGGGGAAGAAACAUUUAUACUUUGGGCAAAUUGAAAAAAUGGGAGGGGAAGUUGUUGGGAUUUUCUUCAAGUGUUUCUAUGCGUUUAAGUUAUAAAUGGUGAGAUUUUUUAAAUCCUAUGGUUUCAUCUGAACAGAAGUUUGAGGGAUAACCUGUUGAAGAGAACAUCUGUACAACAACCAAGAACUUAGGUAAUUGCCCAAAACUUCUUUCUACAGAUCAGCACAGAUUCUGGGUUAUUAUCUUUCGUUUGCAGUGUCUGCAUUUCAACAUCCCAUAGAUAUUUGGAAGCAAUUUCUUGUAUUCUUGAUGUUAUUGAAGGUUCGUCUCUGAUGAUUAUGUAUCCCUGUACAUGAAAAUGAUUCAAAGACAAUUUGAAGCAUAAAUUAGAAACAGUAGAAGAUAUGCCAAUAGGCAGAUUACGCUUGCUUCUCCCUUCCUAAAUUUUAGCAUUAUGGGAGGAGAUCUCCGUUACAAAGAACUUUGAUAACAGAAAUGUCAUGCCCAUGAAAUCUUACAAGAACAGAGAAAUGGAUACAUCAUACAGCAUUACGGUGACAUGCUAUUUUCUAAAAAUCUAGACAUACUAAGCAUUGUUCAGGACAUGUUUAUUAGAAUGUGCAUUUCUUAGAUAUACAUUCUUUAGAUAUUCGUUAAAAAUUCCUGUGCUAACCCUUUUAACUUAAGAUAUUUUCAUGCCAGAGAUAAUGUAAAAGAAGUAAAGAUAGCAAUACUUGAAGAGUUUGGAGAAACUAAUGAACUAUUUCUCAUGGUACAAUGACUAAUAUCAAACUUUUCAAAUGCAUAGAACAAACUAACAUUUUUGUUGAAAUUUAAAGCGACAACAUGGAUUAUAUGUGCUAGUAAAAAAUUAUAUAGUUAGACAAAAAGUUUAGUCCAUGAACUUGGAUGUAUUUAAAAGAUCUUUAAAUGUUAAGAAGCUCCAACGAAGGGCAUUUUUGGCCCAAAGAGUAGGAGAUUAGGGGAAGUGGAGUGGACUUCCCUCCUUGUUUGGUCAAAGAAGCUUGUGGACCCCACACACUUAAACAACUCUCCAAUUUUAACAACUACCCAAACUAAACAACUUCACUCCUUACCCAAAUGCCCCCCCCAUAAAUCUCAAAACUUUUAGUUUUAUGUUCCAUAUGUUCCUUAACUUUAUAAAUGUUUAAAUCCUUCAUCUUUCAUUUUUUUAUCUAUUAAGUCAUUGUCAUUGAUUUAUUAAUCAAACAUUUUGUAAACUAUUAAACAAAAUAGAAAAUUGAGGGCCUAUAAAAUGAUUUUAAAGUUCAAAAACUUGUCGACACAAAAUUAAAAGUGUAUAAACCUAUUAAGCUAUUACAUACUCUUUUAAGUUGAGAGAUUUAUAAAACACAACUAAAGGACUAGACUUAAAUUUUUAAUUAGACCUUAGGGGGCGUUAAAGACAAGGACUAUCCUAAGACUAUAAUAACUACCUCUUGCUACAGCUACAGUGAAUACUCUUUUAUACUCCCAAUUUAGCUGAAGUCAACACUAUUUCAAAGGCCCUCAUUUCCUACAAUAUUUACUAUUUGCUAAAGUUUUUACUAUUUUACAUUUUCAUUAAUUUUUAUUAUUUACUAGUCUCCUAUUUCCUUCUCAAACUAAAGUAGUUUACACCUCACACGCAUACUUUUAUAACCCAAACUAAAAUAAUCUACGUACCAAACACAAACUAUUAUAACUAAUCUAUAAUAACCAACUCCUUGUCCCAAACAACCCCCUGCUAAUUUUAUCCUAAUAUUUGUCCAUGUUUGUACUUUCUAUAUUAUGUGUGUAUAAAUAAAUAAAAUAGAUACUUUAGGUCCUUCAUUUGUUUAGUAGGGUCGUAAUUUCUAUAAUUUGACAUGUAUUUAUUAUACUUAAGCGUUCAAUUCGAGUCCAAUCAUUUUUAGACUCCUUUAAUUCAUUCAAUUUUUGUUAAUGAGUGUCAAACUUGUGUCUAUCAUACUUGAGAACUGUUGGACACAAGUACAAUAAGGAGUAGUGUGGAUCUGACGCAGACACAUGCGUAAGCUCAAAUGGAAGUGUCCAUGCUUCAAAGCAAAUCUUAUUUAGUUCACCAAAUGCACAAGGGUCGUGUUGUGAUGUCCUUUUUGUUUCCUGUUAUUGUUUCAGAUUGUUGAGAAAUGUGUGUUUGGUAGUUUUUGUAUUUUGUCAAGGUUGAUUGUUCCUUUUUAUUUCAUAAGAAAUAUCAAGAGUAGAUUCCAAAAAAAGGAACAAGAACAGCCUAUAGGCCGACCACAGGGUCAAUUAUUACAUGACUCUGGUUUCUUGUUUUUAAGAAAUAAUUUUAAAAUAAAAGACACGGCUAGAGAUUUGAUUUCUUCUCUAAUUUUCAUGGUAUAAAAAUUGAAGUUAGAAUUAUUGUCUUAUCAAGUUCAGUCACAUAAUUCAUAAUAAAUCCAAAUUAUUUUGACUAUUUGAAUAUUUAAAAAAAACAAAUAAAGUUUUCUAUUAAUUUAAAGUUCUAAAAAAAAGGAAUUUCCAAACAUAUUUCUAUUUCUAUAAGACCAAAAUGCAUUUUUGUCUUACUUUUAAAAUUUUGGAAAACAAAAACCAAAUAUUGAGAAACAACAAACAAGAGAGGUAAACAGAUUAAUCAAAACUUUUACGAUGCUAAACACAUAGGCAAAAGAAAAUGCAUUAUGCAAGCAAUGGUAGCAACGGUUAUACCAGAAAAACGGAGGUCUCAAGCAUAGCAUCAAUAUCUGCCAAAAGUAAUUUCCCUAGUUUUGUCUCUUCUUGUGGCUAUUACAAGCUUGAAAAUUGAAGGAAUCAAAUUAAUUACCUGAGGUCGUACAAUGCGGUCCAUUUCCAACAUUAUAUCCUCCAGCAAGCAACCCUCUCCACCACUUUUAUACUGAGAAAAUAGACGGUAUGCAUGCAACAAAUCGUAUGUGCGCGGAUAAGUUGAAAAUGGUUCACACCUACAUUAUAAGAGAUAUUAGAAAACCAAACAUUCAUUAAGAAAAACGAAAGAAACCAAACGGGCAGUAAUAAAAACAAAAACAAAUAAACAAACGAACAAAUCUAUGCAUAAGAGACCUAAGACGCUAACCAAAAAAAGCAAGAAAGCUGACCAUGGCUCAUACCUUUCCCGAGACAGCCCCCAAAAGAGUUCUAUUUUUUUUCCCAAAGCAAUAGAAGUGUUUGCAUGCCAAACAGUAUAAUACUUCUAAUAUUUGGAAGAUGUUGGAGAACAAAUAACUUACCAAUCAUGAAAGACACCAACCAGGCCCCGGUCAUAUAUAGCAGAGAGCGUGUUUUUCAUCUUUAUAGGAACUACAUUCAUAACCCAGACUGGAAAAUUGUUCAAUGCCACUGCAAAUCCACCAUAGAGAGCAUUCAUGUCCAUGACAUUUCGAAUAUCAGUUUCACUGACAUUCAUCAGUUUCCAGUACUGGUUAACUUGAUCUUUCCAAUAUAAGGUAUCCAAAUCAAAUUCCUCUUGACUAACACCUGUGAUUGAAGACAACAAUAUCAUCAUAAAACACAGCAAUCAGAUUUUCUAGGUAAGAGAAAAUAGAAACUAAGAAUAAUCGAGGCACUUCUUAGGAAGGAAAACUAACAAAGGUUCACCUCGUACAAUUUGCUAGCUCAAUGGUUUUAACCAAUACCAUUAAUAAAAAAGAUUGAUUUACUCAAGACUGAGAAUAAGAAAUAAUUGGAAGGAAAUCAAUGGGAAUAGAAGCGGUAAUCCUAUGUUUACUUGGAAGUAACUAUAAAUAGACUUAGCAGCCUAUGCGUGCCACUUAUUACAUUAGAAAUAAGAACAAGACAUUACAAUUACCGAAACGUUCCUUCAACACACCAACGAACUAAGAAUAUAUUAAUCAUAAAAAAUACCAAUAGAAUUUUGGGUCGUUUUCAAAUAUAGUAAAAUUAACCAAAAUAUUUACAAAUAUAGUAAAUAUCACAGUCUUUGUCUACAUAUGUCAUGAUAGACACACGCACAAUCUAUUGCAAAUAGUCCUAUCUUGUUAUGUUUGUAAAUAUUUUCAGGAGUGGUAUCAUUUAAAAUUAUUUUCCUAAAAGUUUUAUAUUAGAAGAAUACUUAUUAGUAAUAAAUUUUAAUUUAUUUUAUUGUCCAUAAAUAGUAAUAAAAUAUAUCUCAACACUUAUUUGAUUCAACAAAUAAUAACAAACUAAAAAUAAAUAAUUAACAAAUUAGGUAAAAGUCUGAAAUCAUGGAUAGUAAAGGCUCAAUUGGAGAGAAAAAAAAGGAAAGGAGUGUUGUUAAAUAUUCGUCAUUUUCUGGACAUUCUUUUCAGUCUAAUUUUGAAUUAACAGUUGAGGUUCAAUGAUAAAUAGUCUUGAAAUCCCUUAGAACUUUAAAUAGUGAUAGAUUAAAUAAAUAAAUAAGCUACCAUUCCAAACAGUUUUUUAAAGUGAAGACAACUACAUCAAGUUAUCAAAGUUAUUAUUCAAAAGAAAAACACUCAGGAAAUCCACAAAUAGGCCACCGAGAUAUAAUUUCUGCUUUUGAAUGAGAGCUUGGUGAAUUGAAGAACCAAAAACAACUAGGAGGAUUCCUUUAGAAAGAAAAGGUAUACCUAUUUUCCGUAGAUUCCUUGAAUAUACUGAAAGGCGCUCUGGUCUUGGAGGUAACUUCUGAGCAUAUGACUGAUCAGUUACGUGAAUACAGUUUCUUAAAGGUAUUUUCCAUGAUGGUUGAAAAUCAUCCACAGCAUCACAUAUUUCCACAGCCUUAUUCUCUGCAUUGAUGAUGAGGCAUGCCGGAUUUUCCUGUUUGAUCCAGAUUGCAGUCUGAACCUUUCUGGCAAUGAGCUUCCAGCACAUUGCUGUAGUCAGAUUCACCAGUUUCUCCCAUAUCAUUGGGUAUUCUUUAUCUUUUCUAUAGGCAGGGGGUGCUGAAUAGACAAAAUAUCCAUUUGGUCGCAGAAGCCGAUCAACUUCUUUGAGUAAAAUACCAUCUGCAAGAAUAAAGACAGUGAAAGUUUAAUGACUUUCAAGUAUAAAUCAAAACGGUAAAAUUGACAAGAUUCAGGGUGAAGGCAUAUGAGAGCCUUCAUAAAAAAUUCAGUGUAUCAUGUCACAUUAUCACCCAAAAAGGAAUCUGAACUUAUUCAGCACUGACAAAGUAAACAAGUAGCAACUUUCUUACAGUUGGUAACUAUAAACGUGGACAUGGAUAAUGGCAUUGUGGUCUUCAUUUAUCUUAAUGCUGCUCUAGAGGUUUCAUAAGAUCAUUAGUCCUUUUUCCGUUAUUUAGAAGAUAAACAUAAAUAUUUUCUCUUCUUUUCUUUUUUCCAUCAAGUGACAAAAUUUCUCGUGGAAGAGAUGAAUAAAGAUCAAUGCUCAAAAAUGGCAUACAAACUCUCUAUAGCGCAUAAAGAAAAGUAGCAAGUGAGAAUAACAAAUAAUAAGUAAUGGCUGUUCAUAAAGAGUACUGGAAUACCAUUUUCAUGCCAAUCAACACGACACCUAGAGCAGUGGACCAUCUCAAAGGAACUUGUGGGAUACGGCAGUUGAUUUGUUGCCAAGGCAGAAAUCAUUGCACCAAUACCUCUCUCUAGCGCAAAUUGAAUCUGAUUCUCAUGCCCGUCCUUGGGAGCAAAGGACAUCGUUUGGAUGCCCAAUGAAAGAAGAUAAGCUGAGAAACUAGCAACGCCACAACCAACAUCUAAAACCUGAUAUACUCCAGCAGAGCUCAGAGUGCCUGUAUCAUUUGUAGUCAUGUUUCCUAAUCUGCGUUAGAAUAAAAUUUGAUCAAUAGAACAGUCUGAGAAGAAAAUCUAAUCAGUAAUUCAGAUUGAUCAUAAAUACAAGGAAUCCAUUUUAAUAUUACUUCCCAAAUUGAAAAUCAAAUUAGAACAGCGGAAGGAUGAAUAUGAACCGACUGAUUAAAGGGUAUGAGUAUAUUCACAUCCCAAUAAGGAAACAAAAUAAAGAGGAAAAGGGAAGAUUCAAUAAGAGGCAACAACGCUACCUUUGGAUGUACUCAGGCGCCCCAUGUUUGAAGUGAGUACCACCUCCAGGAAACCACCAUAGUUGGUCCUUCUCAUGGACCCAAUUUUGUCCUCCUUUAACUUCAGCAAGGCGUGUGUGAUUCACAUUACUUCGCCACACAUAAUCCCGACUGGUUGGCCACUUUACUGGGAUCUUGUAGUCUUCUGGUGGAGGUACCAAACAAAACAAGCGGUUAUCAAGUGGAGGGCAGUGCCUCUCGAGCUCUUCUUUUCUUGAAAGAUCCAAUGUAGGAAUCAAUUCUUUUAUGUAAGAAAUGUCGUGGCAAGGAAUAUACUCGGUGUAGUUUAAAGGACAUACAUCCACACCAUUCUCUGGAAUCGAAAGUGGUACCUUCCUGUAAGUGAUUGAAACUUGGUUUGGAAUUGUGGAAUUUCCUGCAGUAUAAGAGAUAAACUUUGAGACAAGGAAUUGAUUGCAACGAUAACUUAAAACCUUUAAAGUUCCUAGAAACACGGAACAAUUUCACAAACCCAGAAGGAACACACAUCAUCUGAAAAAGGGAGUGUGUUAAAGAUGAAGGAUAUACAAAGAACAAGUCAGAUAUUGCUUUGUUAGUUUGACAUUUCUUAGGCCACAUCUUUGACUUGAAAUAAAAUCAACUAAAUUCUAUCAGAGGAAAAAAUCGUCAGAAGACGAAUUUUAAUGUGAAGCUGUAACGUUUCAGAGAGAAGUCAAAUAGUAUAUUUAAGAAAAAAAUAUGUAUUUAUCAUUAAAAUUAAGGAAGACCCAUUUCAUUUACCCACUAGACUAAUUCAAAAUGUUGAAGUGGAUGAAGUUUGAGUUUGAUUCCCCUUCCUCUAAGCAGGAAAAAGUUAGUGGUAACACUAGUCUUAAUCACCGUGUAGAUAAUUAGUUCACUAAGCAUCUCCCUUCCAAGUUACACUUUCCUUUCCCAACUGAUAACGGGUCUUCCUUAAGAAAGUAAAGCAUCACUGCCAGAAACAAAGCAACCACCAGAUAUGCUUAAUUCUCUUAGUCUCUACACUAGUCAAACAAUCAAGGAAAUAAAACAAGCCAUCAACAAACCCAAUCCAGAACGCAGAUAUCCAGCAGAGCACAAGGAAGAAUACAAGAUCCGAAGCAUAAACUCGAGCAUUAAUUGAAUAGAGAUAAAACUUAAAAGCAAAAAAGUUAAUGAAUUUGGAUUCAGUUUUCGAAGAAACAACAUAGAGAGAGGACAGUACCGAGUGAUGAUGAAGAAGUGGAAUUGGAAGGAAGGUGAGAAACGUAAAUAGGAACAUUGUCGCCAAAAAGAGUACCAAAAUAAAAAGAUCCAACCAUAAGUAAGAGAGCGAGCAUUAUCAUCUGCCCUGACUGCAAAGCAAAAAAAUAACCCAAGCCAUAGGAACUGGCCAUUGUCUUCUUUCUUCCCUCCACAGAGCUUGGAUCUCGGAAACGAGCUGGAAAAUUGAAGAAUUCGUCAAGACCCAAAUGACAUUGCCAUUUGAGAGAGAGAUCGGAGUAGGAAUAGCUAUGAAUGUGGAAGUAAUUUGAAGCCUAAAGCUGAGAUUUCAGGAAGAGAAUAUUUUCAGUUUCGAUUCGAAGAUUUCACCGUUCGCUUUCACAAAUCUUCACUUCUUUAAUUUGUAGAGACGACAUACGUAUUCUCCUAAAAUAUUUAUAGUAAAUACUAAAUAAUUUGUUGAGAUACGUUUUUAAUUCUUUUUUUAAUUGUUCUUUUUUACUGUUGUAAAUAUUUUACCAAAUUCAAUAUUUUCUUAAUGAUAUACAAAUAAGGUUUAAAAUAUCAUAUUAUAACCCUCAAAUUUAUACAAAUUUGAUUAAACAUUAAUAAAACAUAUCUUUCAAUAUAUUAUAAAAACAAUUUUACCAUAUUUGAAAAAAAUUAGUCCAUGAUCCAUAAUUUGGAUUCCGACGUUUUUCUAUAACUUGACUUAUUAAAGUAAAAGUGUCUCUACAAACCAACACGAAUCUUUUUAUCAUACUUUGUCAUAACUCACAUAGAAUUAGUCAGAGUUCCUAUAAUCGAACUAUCGUACACCGAUUCAUUAAAAUCUCCCUCUUAAGCUUAGAACAUUAUAUACAUAUAAUAAGAUUCACGAUGUUUAGCAUUUAGAAAUUCAUCAUGAAGUAACAACUAUUUAUCAAAUAUAUUGAUAAGACAAACAACAAUAUCGUUUUAGUAUUAUCAAUAAACAAAAUCAUGAUAUUUUCGAUACCUUAGUAGUGUUUUAAAUACUAGCUUUGACAAUCUUAUCAAUUAAUUUUUUUUUGUGUAAUUUCUAACAAGAACCAACUAAAUAAGUUGCCAAUAUCAUAUCACACAAGUCCCAAUAAGAGAUAAACUUCAUUUUUAUCAUUAUAUUCACAAACAUGUCUUUCAAGAAUAAACAACAAAUUUAAACUCAGACAAAUGUAAUAAUUUAUUUACAAAUCUCCUAAAACAUUCACUUCAAUUUCUAUAAAAUAUAAAAAACAUUCCACAUAAAUUACCAUUUGCACACAACCCUUUGGGCAACUUUCCAAAUCAAAUGAUCCAUGUACAAGUUUUAGAAUGAAUUAUCCAUUAGCUUUUUAUGUUUCAACCUCAUGAAUGUUUAAUUCAUUUAUGUACGGUAUUCAUUCAAUAACUCAACAAUACCACUUUUCAAUCCCUAAACAUAAUUCCAAACAAUGGAUGGUUAAACAUAUAUGCUUUUUAAUUUGAUUUAAAGAGUAUUACUUUUUGUAUUAUGAUCAAUGAUAACUUUAUCUUUUUUUCUCUCUCUUUCGUUCGUAGAUAACAACCUAACAAGCAACGUACACAAACUAGCCAAAAGGAGGGUAAAACUAUUAAGGAUAAAGACAGCCUAAAUGAUUAUAGACUUUCGAACUUCUAGUAUUUAAUGUGCUAUACAGUGGCCCAAUUAAUUCUAAUUAUGAUGACAAUGAAAAAAAACCAAUAAUUCUCACUUUGUUCCUUGACUAAUCUCAUGAGACAACCCGUUUAACCCUACAACAUUUGAGUAUAUAUUAAGAAAAGUUGUAGAAAAUUAAUUAUUUGGUAGGUGGCCUCCAUGAAUUGAACACAUGACUCAAAACAAUCAAAUUCAACCAAAAUAUUUGAGAUUGAUAGGAAAAAACAAACCGAACUCUGAUAGAGCAUAUCAUCAUUCAUUUAAGAACCUUCACGUCAUGAAUAAACUUGAAACAUGCAUUACAAACUUAUCCUAGAUGGGCUUGAAGCACUCAACCAAGACCUCCCGAGUCCGAAUCGAAAGAAGAAGAAGAAGAUGGCAAAGUAACAUAUGUGCUCAACUUUCAACAAGGAACCCGAAGAGAAUGCCAACCAAUCAUGGGAGUGUAUUGUUAAUUGGAAUCAUCUACUUAGCUUUGGCAUAUCGUGUCAAAACUCUACAAUACAUUUACCAAUCAAAACACUAAAUAGGGUUGGAAUUAAUCAAGUAGAUCUUUGAGAAAACAUCACUCACGUAAACACUCUACAAAAUCUAAAAGAGAAAAACAAAAAGAAGAGGAAAGAAGAUAAAAACGAAUGAAAUUGAAAUUAGGAGAGAUGGAUGAGCCAAAGAAAGACUAGUUACUACAUUAUGCUUCUAAACUUGUAAAGAUAAAUAAUACUCCAGCUUGUUUGGGCAGAAGGGACGGCGGUCGGUUUCUCGGGUCGUCUGGAACACCUUUCAGAAACAAAACCAGGUUUUCCCAAUUCGUAGCGUCGUUUCUCAUCGCCGGUUCCGCCAUAUUCAAAUUUCUCUCCAAUUCCGACAGGCAAUUGAUCAAUUACAGGAAAGCUUUCGAAAUUUGAAACUUCCGGCGAUGCCGACUUCUACUGCAGGAAUUGCAGGUUCAGGAGAUUCGUCCAAUACUAUAAUUGGUUCUAGUGCUGAAGAUAAAUCCCUCAAGGAAUCAGCUGCUGCUCAAUCUCAAUAUCGUGCUCAAAAUGAAGUGCAAGAACUUGAAAAGUCUAGCAAACAACUUUAUCCUUGCCAACCGGGAGAAGCUCAGGGUGCUGUGGCAAUACCUGCUGAUCAAGAGACAAACCGAAGUUCCGGGAACGAUCAGAACAUUGUUCCCCAUCAUGGUACGUUUAACAACAUUGCUGUCUCAUCUUCUAGCAACUUCAGGUCGAAUGUUGACGAUGCGAGAGACAUUGACAUUGCUGUUCAGGAUGCCGUGUUAAGGGAACAGGUAUGCACGAAUAUAUUUCAGUUUUUCAAAUUCCUUAAAAAAAAAUCAGCUUAGUUUUGAAUACUAUAAUGUGAUGACGCCUCCAUGUUCUGUUUCACAUUUAAUGGAAGUUUUGGUUAAUCGUCUUUUAAGUUUUUGUUUGCAUUGGUGCUCCCCUUUCAUCGUAUCCGUUCUGAUGGGGACUAAUUUUAUGGUUUUUUAGAGUUCAGAGACUAGAUUUCUAUAUUUUCAAGUUUCUCAAUCUAUACACCCCUAUUAUGAUGAUAAAUGAUAUGGACGGAAUGGUGAGAAAUUUCUUUUGGAAGGGGGAGUCUUUCAGACGGGUAGUCAAUUGACUAAAUAGAGCUGAACUUUUCUGCCUCUUCAAUAUGGGGGUCUUGGGCUGUCUGCAGCAAAGGAACAAGGCCAUGCUCCUUAAAUGGCUUUGGUGCUUCAUCUACGAAGAAACUGCCUCGCAGAGAGUUGUGAUUGCCUACGAAGAAACUCCCCUGUGCAGAGUUGCGAUUGCAAGCAUAUUGGUCUUUGGUGUGGGCUGUCUUGUCUCGAUGAGUGACAAUUAGAUUGAGGGUUGAGAUUGAUAGUGCUUAUUUGUCCGUAUGGAAUUGUAUUUUCAUUAUGAUUGAUACGCGGUAGUAGAGGCUUUAAAGGAAGUAACUGAAACUAUUUCAACGUGCAACCCAUUCCUUGUUGACUAAGAUGAUCUGUGUUGAGCUUGACUUGUAUGGUGAAACAAAGGCUGGGCGUGGUUGUUAAGAAUCUCUAUUGGCACUUGUAGAGGCAGAAUCCUUUUCUUUUGCAUGCAUGGCUAAAGGUUAGUUUAGGUAUGGAAUUCUUAUUAAUUUUUGCAGGAGUCCUUUGCAUGAUCAAAACAUUAGUGCUUUGGAACAGAUUGGGAGAGCUUGCAGGGAUAAUUGCUAUGAAAACAUUAAGGAAUUUAAACCGUAUUGGAACCUCCAUUGAGGUUGAGAACAAUUACUGUGGCUUUAUCCUCGCUGAAAAGUAGCAUAAUGACAUAAUUCGGAAGUUAUUCUAUGGUUAGCGUAGGGGAAUUGUGUGUGUGGUGGGGGAACCCUAAACACUCAUCUUAUAGAUUAAAAAUAUUACUUGCAACUUGUUUUUUUUUAUAGAAUUGACAUGUUGCUGUUUGUGUCCACUGUCCGGUGUCCACGUCUAUGCUUUCUAAUUGGUAGAUUUUGUUGGAGGGAAACAAUGUUUCCAAUACGAAGAGGAAGUUGCACCUAUCUGGGGAUUUUGGUUCUCUUUCAGCUUCCUGAUGGUGCCUCAAGUCUCCCAUACAUUGACAUUGGAGAGAAUUAUAUAUUUAUUUUAUUUCUUCUUGAAAUUUCUUUAGCUCUCCAUUUGUAAUUUUAUUCAUAAGCAAGACACUGUUUCUUAUCUAUGUAACUAAAUUAUUUUAGUUUUCAAACACUUUAAUUAGUUUUUUUUUCCCCUAACAGGAACUUGCUACCCAAAAUAUUAUUCGUAGCCAAAGGUGAUGGUUCUUCAUUUGUUUUUGAGUUAUUACAGUUCAGAUUGAUAAUGAAAACUAAAUAUGUUACCAUCCCCAGAGAUUCCGUGGGUGCAGAUGGACUUCCGGUUGAGCGAUCAGAUAUCUUUUCAGAACGUUAUGACCCGAGUUCUCUUAAAGUAUGUGACUUUCUACCUUUAUACAACUUUUGUUCAUAAAUUUUCUUUAGAAUGUAGAAUAGCCGCAUGCUUACACCCAUCAAUAGAUUUAGUUGUAUGUCAUCACUGCCUCCAUGGUCCCUAUUUAUCUACUUUCAUGAGAAAUAAAUGUCUUAUGUCAAGUUUAUGUAGAUACGAAAAGAGGAACUAGGUUUUGUAUUACAAUUUGAGAACAAUAUUGCACUUUGAUGUUUAUUUUAACAAGCCCAUUUAUAUGAGAACUUGAAGAAAAAAAUUCAUUAGUUAAGGCAGUUAGUUUAACAACUAAAAGGAAACCAAUCCUUAAGUAACUAACCUAACAAAAAGAAAGCGUAAUACACAUAGUAUGUGUAACGUCUGCGUUUAGGAUGGGUACACGUACAUGAAUGACAUGAUAUCGCAUUUGAAUGAGAGUAUGGUUAAAAGUUGUGAAAGUAUGGUUAAGAAUGACUUAAAAGAAUUUAAAGAUAUUAUCUAUACCAACAAGGUGCACCAUCCUUUUGGGUGACUCAAUUAUAGGAACUCAUCCUAGGAAUUUUUCUGGGAAGCAUGUGAGUGAGGACAAAACAUGUUAUAAAGACUCGUGUAAUUGUGUUGGUUUGAUGUAAUAGUCUUCACGCUUGAAAGGAGUUUAAGAUGAGCAAAGAUGAUGUUGCUAGGUCGUAGGGGAUGCAGAAGAAUGUUGGGGCCAUCAUGUGGCGAAUAUGGAUUUCAAAGCUUAGGUUUGCGGCGUUACAGAUGGUAUUAGAGUGGAACCUCUCUUAGUAAAAUGUGGUUUGAGGACGUUAUAGAAAAACUAUUCUAGUGUAGUAUCUAACUACUAGCCUUCUUUUCUGAAUUUAACUUGCCUUCAAGAUUCUUGUCUUCGAAUGAAGCUCAUCUUGGAUCAUGUGGGGAGUUAAAAAAAGAUCAUGUGGGCAUUGGAUACUCUGUCGUAAGAUUGGUUGUAUACUUCUUGAGCAUUUAUCUUAUUGAAAAACUUCUUAAGCAUUAACGCAUGUUAGAAAAUAUUCUUUGUUUUGAAGUGCAACAAACAUGCCUUAACAGAUUAAUAACCUAAAACAUGAGGACUAUUCCCUCCAGCCAAUGACUGUAAAAUUUAACCAGCUAUUAUUGGCUAGUUUACAAAGAAGUCCCACAUCAAUUUCAUGCAUGUUGUCAGUCCUGCCAUUAGAAAAAUUACCAUCAAGUACUGCAACCACUUUCCUAUUCCUAGACUAUCGGAUUUGUUAGAAUAACUAUUUGGAUCCACAAUCUUUUUAAUGAUAAAUCCUUUGCCUCAGCCUGCUAGAGGUGUGAUUUGUUCAACUUUUGGCUGGUCCCUUGCAUUAUCUGAAGAUCCUUUCGUUCUGAUUGCCCUGAUACUUGUCGCCAUUGUCGGUUACCCAUUCAAGGAGGGAGAACAAGAUCAUUUAUCUCAACUUUUCUAGAGCCUUUUAUGGUCUCUGUGGAGGAAUAAACAUAAUUCUUAAGUCUUUAAGGACAAUGACUGAUGGUUCAGCAACGCUUUUGAUUCUCCAUCCUUUUUCAGCUCCCACAUGGUGUAAAUUAGUACCCACCUUUUCUGAUACAAUCUCUUCUCUUGUAGCUCAAAAACUUUUUUUAACUUUUCUUUAGGGUAGGAUCCCUCCCCUUUUUUAUAAUCUCAUCUCAUAAAUACAAUGUUGCUUAUCCAAAGAUAAAAAGGGAGUUACUAUAAUUAUCAUUAUAAAAGAGGAGGUAACUCGGGGAAAGAUGAACCAAAAACGCACAGCCAAAAAUGUGAUGAGAAGGGAUUAUUUAAAUCCUCCCUAAUACCUUACAUCAGAAUCGUUCCUAAUUACCCAUUGUGAGACCAUGGACAUCUGCUUUGCUCUCUUGUUUUUGUUUAUAUUGCAUGACACUGUUAUACAGACAAAGGCUUAUUAUUUGUUAUCAUGUUUUGUAGCUUUAAUUUUUUUUUCUUUAUGCCUUUUAUCUCAGGAGCAUCUUUUGAAGAUUACUUCUGAACAUCGUGCAGAAAUGGCUAUAAAAAGGGGAAAGUUGAAUCUUCCAGAAGAAGGUCGGUACUUUGUGAUAUGGCUUCCUCUUCCUAUUGAUGUUUUUCUCUUCACUUGAUCUUCUUGUGGUGCAAUAGUAGAUGCUUAAGUACUCUAAGGUGAAGAUAUCAAUUGUUGGAUGAAAAGGGUUUAUAGUACAAUUACACAUUGUUAGAGAUAUGUAUGGAAGUGCUUAGGGCUAUGCAAGGAAGAAAUUUCCUUUUAGAGUAUUUGGGUCAACUUAUAAGUAUAAACUAUUCUCAUGGGACAGAUUGUUGGAUGCUACAUCAUGCAGUUUUUGAGGAACACUAGGAUUUUUUUCUCUAAUUGUAGAUAGGUGGCCACUUUGGGACUUGAACCCUUGCCUCAAAGUCCCCAAGUUCUUCAUGAGGCCCUUUACCUCUUUGUAACUCUCAUUAUUGGACCAAGUCGGGUCGAUCUGAGUGAGAAAGGUAAGGCCCAAGAUUGGUUGAACCUCCAAAAUCCUAUUUGAGGGCCUUGCUUAUGCUGACUUAUUCCAUCAAAAUUUGUAUGGGGUUUGGGUUGACCCAUUGGAUGAUUAACUUUUAAAAAUUACUGUGUUGGAAUUUUCUUAAACAAAAUUGUACUGUAACCAUAGGUUAGGUUUCAUUGUACUUAACUAGGGUUCAUCCCUUUAGUGGUACCUCCUUUUUGUUGGCUUAUUUUUUCUAAUGCUCUUGUAUUCUUUCAUCAUUUCUCAAUGAAAAUUAAUGAAAAUUUGGUUCUUUAUAUGAGAAAAAACAAAUUAUAUUAAAACUUGUGAUUUAUAUUUUGUUAUAGAAGAUGCCGACAAUUCUGUGCAUGAGAACAAGUGAAGAAAGGAUUGGUUCUUAUCCUCCUUAUUUUUCCUCGUGCACCUCAAGGAAACAAGUCCCUCGAACACCUCAAGGAAAAAGGCAACAAAAAGGCCAUAUUUGAGUGGAGCCAGGUGCAAUGAAUAGAUAAAUAAAUAAAUAAAAUAUUUAGGUUGCAUGGCUUUGUUGGGCCUAGAUGGUGGGUUAUAACGUUAUAAGCAUAUUUGUUAAAUAAAAUAAGAAAAAGAAACAGAACACCCUAUUAUUUUAAUCAGGGGCCUUGGACUAAGCUAAACAGUCAAAGGUGCAUAGGGCUAGUGCCCAACUGAAAAAUCGCUUGCCCCACUUUCUUUUUCAAUCAUGGGAGAGAGUUUCUUGGUAGGUCAACUUCUUGUAGAUCUUUUAUAAUAGGGAAAGUGAGCACAAUUCAAUUGACAUUAAAAUUUGGUAUCAACCUGAAUGUCAAAGGUCUGAAUCCCCCACCUUCUUGUUGAGCUUUCGACCUUCUGUAACAAUUUGCUCAAGUGUAACAUGGAAUGUUUUUAGGACAGAUGGAUACUGUUGGAAAAUGAUCACAAUGUUGUGUGCUUGAAUUCUUCCUCUUAGGUUUCAACUUCUCUCUUUCAAAAAAUUUCCAUUAUACUGUUUAUUGCAAAUUGGGAUUUCACUUGUUUUUCUUCUUUUUUUUUUUCCUCUUUUGUGUUUGUGGCUUGCAACUCUUAUUCUUGUUUUGUGCAACUUCCUUGUAAUUAUAAUUAUACUUUAACUACUAUAAACGCCAAGUGGGUACCAUUUUUUCUUUUUUUAACUCGGCUUUUUAAUGUAAUUUCAAUACUGUUAAACAAAUUGUCCUCUAUAUCUAGAACAAAAUAUUUUAUGGCCUUUUACAAUUAAAUUUUUUGUAGCACAGAGACCACUUUGAAAGAAUUAAUAAAAUCAGCAGAUAUGUGCCUACUUCUCUAGAUUGUUAUUCUAUAUUGGAGAUUCCAACAAACUCAAACAUAUAAUCUUCCUUUUCCCUUUCAAGGAGAAUGACAUCUUGUUGUCAUGUCAGGGAACUUGGAAAUUGGAAAUGGAUACGGAGUACCUGGUGGAUGUGCUUUCUAUGGUGCUUCAAAGCCUGGAAUUGUUGCCAAUGGUUUAAAACUUAAACCUUUUUCCUUUUGCUUGAUUUUGAUGUUGAUUUCCAGUUGGUUCAUUUGUCCUGCUUUCAGGAAAUAAUGUGACUGGCCAGAAAAUCCAGGGACAGAUCAAGGAAGCAGAACAAAGUUCUGCUUCCAAGGCAUUGCCCGAGUACCUCAAGCAGAAGCUAAGAGCUAGGGGUAUUCUUAAAGAAGAUGCAGAACACAGCAAUUCUGUAAGGGCUGAUGUGCGUAACUUCCUAAAACAUGUCUUGGCAGGACGCCUUAGUUUUAUUAUUUAGCCACAGACCUAUUUGAUCCAUUUAAACCAAUAUUUACUCUUUUCUCGCUGAUGGGGAAACACUUCAAUUUUUUCUCUUUUCUUAUCUUUAAAAAGCAGAUUUACAAAGAAAAGCUUGUGCACCUAAAUUUUGUUCAGAUUUAUAAAUAUCCUUUUGUUUCAAUUUUGAGAUUUCUAGAAUUUGUGUACUUCUGAUAGCAAUCAUAGUUCCAUGGUUCUGCUGAUAUUCUUUAUUCAAUUGCUUCUCUCUUAAAUUACAGACAAAUUCUGACGCUGUUUCAAACACAAAGUUGCAAGGAGAAAAGCUGCCUCAUGGAUGGGUGUGUACUGUUUGCAAUUCCUUUACCAAUUGUGUGCAGUGCUCUCUUUCUCUAUCAAGCUUGUUAGAAUUGCCUAUUGCAACUUGGGAAGGUUAUUUUGUUUGAUAGCUGAGCUGAUUAGGUGGCCUUAGUUUACAUUAUUUUUUAAAUAUUUCCAAUAAGUAGGAAUUUAACAUGCUUAACUAUUUAUUCUGUGGGGUAAUAAAAAAGUAUAUUAAAUCUACUUAGUUAUAAUAUAUCAUACAUUUAUAUAUUACUAGUGUGGUGUUUACUAAAACAGUUAAGUUUGUGAAGUGAACGAGUUUUGUCAGAAUAAUUACGGAAGGUCAUUUUCCUAAGUGUGAGUGAGUAGACCUAGUAUCCACUUUGCGGGAACUUUAUUAUGGAGUUGAAGCGGCCCUUACUGUGUUAGGGACUUGGGGAUUUUAUUUUUGUAAUUCUUUUGAGUCAUUUAAGGUUGUUGGCAACCUCUGGAUUUUGGGUAGCAAAAACAUUAUCAACUCUGGAUGUGAGUAUUGUACUUUCUUUUCAAACAUAAUUUCUAUUUGAUUCUAAGGUUUCCAAAACUAAUACUUUUGGUUCUUAAGAUUUGAAUUUGGUUGUUAUUUGAUUUUUGAGGUUAUAAAAUUGACAUGUCUAGUUUUUUAUAUCUAAAUUUGAUUUCUAGUUAAUCCCUGAAGUUUGAAAUUGGUUUUUAAUACCCAAGUAUAAAAAAUAAUUCCAGCAAUGUCUAGUUAGCAUAUUGUAACUGAACUGAUGUAUUCUGUUAUAUCAACUAGCAGACAAUUAUAUUUAGGGACCAUUUAGGAACCUAUUUCAAACCUUAGGAACCAAUUAUAUCAAAUUUAAACAUAGGAAUUAAAUAUGUUGCUUUUGAAAUCUCAAGGACCAAUUACAAACCAAAUUCAAAUAUCAAGGAUCAAAAGUUCUAGCUUUAAAAACCCAUUGACCAAACAGAAACUUAGUAUCCAGGGACCAAAAGUAAGUUUUUCUCCCUCAAAAAAAAAAAAAAAAAAGAACGAUUCUAAGAAGUUUCAAUAAAAUAUGAAGAUGUGUUGUGAUGUUUCUUGUUUUUGGAAGUUUGUCCUUAGGCCUCCAUUUUAUAAACUUGUAUGCUUCUCUGCAUAGGUGGAGGCUAAAGACCCUCACAGUGGUGUUUCAUAUUAUUAUAAUGAAAGUAGUGGAAAGAGUCAAUGGGAAAGGCCCUCCGAACUUUCUUCUAAUACGCAACUUUCAUCAGCUGUAUCCCUUCCAGAAGAUUGGAUGGAGGCAAUCGAUCAAACAUCAGGUCGGUAAGAGAUUUAAUGAUUUAUGAUGCUGAUAUACCUUCUUCCAUGCAUAAUUUGGAGGAGAAAAGAUAAGAAAUCUGGAGGAAUUACAGCACGAUAAUCCUUGUUGUUUCAGUUUUACCAUACUUUUUCUCAAUGCAUUUAUACAUUUCUGGUUUCCCCUGUCCUGCAUCCCUACCUUUUCUACGAGUCAUUGAUGUGGAGACUGUAGAGUCUAGAGGUUGAAGGCUAGAGUAAUUGGCUUGAAUUGCGUGGAAACUUUUGUAUUUGGCAUCUCAUGAACCUUCUUUAUAAAUUUUGCAAGCCUUGAAAAUGGAAUUAUCCGUUGAGGGACGCUUAUGUCGUGCCUUUAUUAUGUUGUUCUAGUUGUAAUUGGUGGUUUUCCCAACUUCAAUGGAGAAGUGUUCAGAAAAAAGUUGCUGAAUAACAUAAUUUGCAGUUUUGCUCCCAUUGACAAAUUUUCAUACGACCGCAGGCGUAAAAUACUACUACAAUAUGAGAACCCAUGUAACCCAGUGGGAGCGGCCUGUUGCAUCUCAUCAGACAACUUUGACACACUCGAAUGAUAAGUUUCCUGGGCCUUGGAACGACCAAACUUUGGAGCAAAGUAAAUGCAUCACAUGUGGAAGUGGAAUGACCCUCGUGCAGGGUUCAAGAUACUGCAACAGUUGUACAAGGUAAAUGAGAUAGUCUAUAUAUCUAUGCUAAGAAAAUGAAGGUCUUUUCAUUAAGAGACUGGAAAGUACAAGAGAGGAUGCAUACGAGUGAACAAACUUGAUUAAAAGAGAUAUUGCAAUACGUACGGAAAUUUGAGUCCCCCACUCUCCCCUCCCACUAGACUACUCUAAUCUAGUUGGAGGAGUUACAUUUUUGUUAGGCAAAUCGGUUUGCCAUUUUUAUGAUGAAGCCUCUGCAUUAUGUUGUAAGGCAGUUGUUAGUAUUCAGCAAAACCUGAAGCUGGGUUUUUCUUCUAAAGUCAUAUAACCUGCCUCUGUAAGGAUGCCUUGGUGAGCAUUAGUAAGCAUAAAGUUUUGUAGAUUCUUCUGCCUUCAAAUGAGGCUGCAGUAACAUAUCUAAUUUCUAGAAAAAUGUGGGCUCUUCUUCCUUGAUCGGAUUUCCUUCAAGUUUCAGAGUUGCUGUCCAAACAACUUGAUUUCUGAUUUGUGGGAAUAUUUGAGCCAUUCUUGGAAAAAUUACAUUGAGGAGACAUUUGAAGGAUAACGAGAUUAUGCAUUUUUAGUGACCUAAUUUUACUCUUGGAAGAGGUUCAUUUAGCCCGUGGGAUGAUAAAAGAAGUACUGCUGCUUGGUCAUAUGGAGUCCACAAUCAAAUCCCUAAUUAGUAAGCUGUUUGGAAAUCCCAAUGUCCUCUUCCUUGUUUAAAGCUUGUCGUAAAUCCAAAUUUUCAAAGAAAAUCAGCUUCUUUUGUGAUUUUUUAAUGGUCGGACAUCAGAGAAAGCUUGCUUUCAUUGUAUGAUCCCCCUGGCUUGCCCCUUUGUGGUUUCUGGACUUAGAAGACCAGAAGCACUUUUCAUUGUGGGUUUAUUGUUAAAAGGUGGGGGGAAAGCCUCUAUUUUAUUUUCAAUUUUAUCAUUAAAUAUUUUCCAUCUCUCUACUAAAUGCUAUACUACUCGUCAGCCUCUUUUAGAUUCUGACUAAGAGCCCACAGAUACAUCUUACUCAUCCAUCAAGAACAUCCUCCUCCCCUCACCUCACAUUUCCUCUCAUACAUGAUACUUGUUUAUUAGACACAAUUUACUGCUCAACAAGAUGGGCACCCACUAACUGUUUUCUUACUGCAAUUUUAUCUGGAUAAAUUCUCACACUUCGUUCUUCAUUGCAUUGGUUUUGUGUCUAAAUUGACUAGUGGGGUUUCUACAAGUUCAACCAAUGGGAUUUGGCAGGAUCAACCGUCUGAGCAAAAUAAAUGCAUGGGAUGUGGUGGCUGGGGACUAGGCCUUGUGCAAGCUUGGGGUUACUGUAUUCAUUGCACACGGUAUGUUGAUCACUCUUAUUAUUCAGCACUAUCAUGUAGCAUAUCAUUGUAUUUGGUAUGAUUGUUUGUGACUAUGUAUGAACUGAUGUGUGGAUGAAGGUAGUUAGGGUUAGAAGUUCAUUAGCUAGACUGCUUGAGUGAUGCAAUUAUUUUAAUUUAAAAUCCUAGUUGUUUCUAUGACACGUUUACAGUUUUUCAGCCAUUACUCUCGAUAAAUUCAUACAAAUAUUUUUUUUUCCUCAUGGAUUAUGUAUUCGCUUUUGUUUUACCCUCUUUUUAUUAUUAUUAAUAUUAUUUUUUAUUUAUUUAUUCACAACGACUUUCAGAAUUCUCGGUCUCCCCCAGUGCCAGUACUUGCCAACCAACAACAUUAGUAAUCAGCAGAAGAUAGAGAACGUCAAGCAUAGCGCUGAUCCCUCCAUUAAAAAAUCUGUGACAGAUAGGUAAAGAAACAGUCCUCUGACUUCGGACUUAGUUAAGUCGAGAAAUAGGGGAGGAUUAAGUUAUGAAGCUAAUGAGUAUCGGUUGUCAGGUCCAAAUGGAAACCUCCAAUAGGGAAAGGUGGAAAGCGAGAAAGUAGGAAGCGUUCCUACAGUGAGGAUGAUGAAUUAGAUCCAAUGGAUCCUAGCUCUUAUUCAGAUGCUCCUCGUGGUGGCUGGUAUGUCUUCAAAAAUUAGCUCUCUAGGUUGAAUACUAGUUGAUUAUUUAGGCCUCAUUUGACAAAGGUUUUAGUUUUAGUUUUUUGUGCCUAUUUUCUUCCAUUUGUUUAUAAUAGUUUUCAUCUUUCGUAAGAAAUUAUUUAAAUUGCUAUUCAAUUAAGCAAUUGAAAUCAUCGUAAGGAAAUAUCUAAAUUAGCUCUCUGGGUUUAAUUGCUAUUCAAGUUUUUUUAAUAACUAUAUUUUUAAAAUUUCAAGACUUGGCUUGGAUGUUGAAAUCAUCCUUAAAUAAUAGAUAACAAAACAAAGAAAUUCAUAGGAUAGUAGCUGCUUUUAUAAACUUAACAACUAAAAGUCGAAGGGUUAUCAAAUGGGUCUUAGAAAAUCUGUCCAAGAAGUAGAAUGAUAUUAAUUGUUUGUUUUGAUUACUUUUCAGGGUUGUGGGUCUAAAAGGUGUGCAGCCUCGGGCAGCAGAUACUACUGCUACAGUAAGUAGUAACUAAUCAUUUUAGAUUUUUAGCUGUUUGCUGUUGCAACCGUCUCACCUUAUAAUGGGCAAUUAUCAUUUCAUGUAUAGACAUGUUAUGUAGUUUCACAUAUACAAUUUAAAACAUUUCCUUCACAAUGGGCCUUGGUUUUAGUCUGUUUGAUGUAAUGUGCUGACUCUAGCGUCUGCAGUGAACUCUUGACACUGAUUAGAACAGGGGCUGUUCUCUUGUUCCUUAAUCCAAUCCUCAUUGUGUUGGAUCUCAUUUAAAAUAUUUUUUUUCUUAUUAAAUCGAAAUAACUUCUAAUUGGAUAAUAUAUACUUCCUCUCAUCGAUGGUGAAUGGCAGGGUCCUCUCUUUCAACAGCGGCCAUAUCCAUCACCUGGAGCUGUUCUGAGGAAGAAUGCUGAAAUUGCUUCACAGACCAAGAAGGGAAGCUCUCACUAUGCACCCAUUUCCAAGAGGGGAGAUGGAAGCGAUGGCCUUGGUGAUGCUGAUUGAUCUCUUCUAAUUUAUUCUGCUCCGACGAUACAGUGACCACUAUUUAUGUAGUGUAGAAGUACACUUUUCACUGGAGAUGCGACAUAUAUCUUUGACCGUAUAGCCUUACCUGAAGUUAUGGAUCAAAUGCACAUCUCACUUUCUGAAGGAGAGGAACGUGGCUGUACGAUGGUACGUUUCUUGUAUAUAUACUAAUUACUAUACUUCUAUAUGGAAAACUUGAGUCGUGGACAAAACGGUCAAUGAGGCAGAUUUUUAACCUUCACAUAUGUACCAGAAGAUUUGAAUUACUAGACAGGAGUAGAAAAUUCAAACUUAUUGUAUUUUGUUAAAAUGUUACAAUAAUUUAACUUAACGUCGACUAUACGAGACAAGCUUAGAAGUUUAUUAAUCCUACAAUUAUGCAAACUCUAAGUUUACCUUUCAUACUACUUCGAUAACUUUUGAUUUUAUAUUUCAUUUUUACUUUUGUACAUUAUAAUUUCACAAGUUAAACACUGUUAUUCAAACUUGAGGUUAUCGAUUCUGAAUUUUAUAAUUUAGAUGAAUUAAGUUGGUAAUAUGAAAAGAGAUCUCGGUGUUACACCGCCUUGUUGGGUUGCUUUUGGAUGGUUCCCUGGGAGUUCAGCCAAAGUGAGAUGGCAUUAGUUGUUUGUUGCUGAUGGAGAAUCAAUAUUUCAAAUAGAAAUAAGGAGUACAGUAUUUCUUUCUUUACUAUAUGAUAAUGGCAUGUGAUUACAUUGGUCUCAUCUGUUUGUUUACUUUCCAUAUUAGCUUAUUAUUGGGACCAGCUGUCUUACUAUAGAUUGAUCAUCAAUGUGAUGAUGUGUAUGUUGGUUACCUAUCUUUUCAAAUCCUCAAGUCAAUAUAGUAAAAUGACUUAUUACAUUACAUGAAUUGGAUUAUCAAUUUUAGCUGAUUACAUACCUCCUUAACACCAAUGAAGAUACUUAAACUAGAGAUUUCUAUGGGCCACGAUGGAAGACUUCCACAUUCUCGACCCCAUCAUAUUUCAAUCUUCAUCCUAUGAAUUGUUUUUCAAUAAUUUUGAGGAAAGUGAAGAUCUUUGCGAGGAAAUUAAACAUAUCAUCUUAUUUCUUUCUUUCUUUUACUUUCAAUCGAAAUAUAUAGUUUUUUUUUUUAAUUCUUUAAAUUGAGCAUUUUUAAUAUUAUUUCUAUUCAAAUAAUGCAAUAUAAACUUUUCUAAUAAAAACAAUAAUUAAAAUGUUAAAUUUCCAUAAUGUCAAAAAAGUUGAAUGCUGAAUUAUUACUACUUUACAGUUUUUCAACUUAAAUAUUACAAAAUUAUUGUUUUAGAGGUAAGUACGUUAUAAUUAUCCUAGAAAAUAUCUAUAUAAUUAAACAAAGGCAAAAACAUACAAUUAUCCUAGAAAAAAAAUAUAUAAACAAGGAAAAGGCAAAAUAAUUUGUUGUAAUUCAUAUCUCUUCCAUGAAAGGAAGAUAGAAGAAGUUGGUCGAUUAAAAAAAAAAAAGAAGAAGAAGAAGAAGAAAAGAAGAAAGAAAGAAGGGAACAAAUGUAAAAUAAGGUGAAUUUGAAUGAUAAUAAAAAAAUAAAAGAAGUUCAAAGAUAAGUAAAAAAUAAAAAUAAAAAAUUAAACUAUUAGUAAAAUAUAGACAACAAAAUAAGUUAUGUGAAAAUAAUAUCUAUUUAAACUGAAUUUUAAAAAACAAAAAUAGUAUUUGAGUGUAAAAAAGAUCAAAAUUUGAGUGAGAAAUGAGUAAAAAGUGAAAAUGAUAGCAUUAGAAAAAGAAGAAGAAGAAAUAAACAUAAAAAAUAGAAAAGUGAAAACAAAAAUGAUAUAGAAAACAUCCCAAAAACUUUUUGUAAUGGAAAAACGUGUCCUUCAAAUACCAAAGUGUUGGAUUUAUUGAAAGUCCAGCUUCGUGCUUCUUCUCUACACUCAAAAGGAUAGAGAAAACCCAAAAAAAAAAGAAAGAAAACUUUGGGAAUAAAUUCCAUUUUCUUCACUCUCCAUCUCCAUCUUCAUCAUCCCCCAUCUUUAGGGUUCCCUUCCCAUCUUCUUCCUUCUCUUUACCAUCACUUCACAUUCACAAAGGUGCGUUUUUUUUUUUUUCCCAUUUCAAUUUCUUGCUUUCUGUACUUCUCUAUUCCCUCUGUUUCUCCAUUCUUCACUGUGUUCCAUUGCCCGCUUUCCACUUUUUAUCUGAUGGGGCUCAUUCUGUUUUACAUUUUAAUUUAAUUGUUCUCAAGGUGUAGCCAAUGCUUGCAAAUUUAAGUUGAAUUUCCUGUUAAUUUCUGAUUUUGAUUCUCUUUUUUUUCUUUCUUUCUUUUGACUUGAUGUUGUUUCAACUAACUUCAUUGACUUAUUUAUUCGUUUGUUGAAGUGGGAAAAUUGAUUCCUGAAGUUGGUUUCACUUUUAUGGUUUGAUAGUGCUAUUUUUCAUACUUGAACAGUGUCACUGGAUCUAGGAUCGAUAUGUGUCUCAUAUGGUACAAACCCAUUUCUAUGCUAUUGUUGGAGUAUUGAUAUGAUUAAAUUUAACAUAAUCCAUUAGCUCUAGUGUUUGGAUUGAUGGAUGUCAUUUUUUCCUCAAUUAAUUCUGAUUUCUAUGUUGGAUCUAGUGAAGCAGUGUUGAAGUAUUGGUAUAAUUAAAUUUACUAUAACCCAUUAACUUAAGCUUUUGGAUUUAUUAGUGAUUUAAAAAUUAAGAUCUAAAAUGAUAAUGAUUCAUAUUGCUACUUUGGUGAUUAUCUUAGAGAAGUAUGCUUUGCUUAAGUUCUUGGACUGAUACUCCUUGGAAUUACCGAAUGGAAAAUCAGACAUUUUCUAGAGCUUGAUUUUAUUACGAACUAUUACUCCAAUGUUCCAAAGCAUUUUUGAGGUGAAGUUGUUCUUACACUAGCCUAUCCAACCAAUAGGAUGCUCUCUCGCACAUUGAACUUCCAAAUGCUUCUUCAAGCCCCAGAAAAUGUACUCUUACUGAUAUAUAUUCCUAGAUAUGUGGAUGUGCAUCAUCCAUUACAUAUUCAUGAUCGAAAUAGAAGCAAUUUGGGUUUGAAAUGUUUAAACUGCAGCUCUUUUGAAACCAUCAUUGGCGGCCUAGUGGUAAAUAAAAAUCUUGGGUUUGAUGAAUGACUUAAGAGGUUAAUUGAUCUAAUCUAGAAUCUGUUAUUUCAGAGCAGAGUUCUCAAACUUUUGCAUCUUGUGAUAAAUGAAACAUGCAUAUGAUGUGAAAGUACUUAUUUUGUGCUGAUUAAUUAAAUCCAGAAGUAAAAGGACAAAAGUCACCCAAGUGUUUUCUUUGUCAGCUGAGUACAUAACUCAGGCUUGAGAUUAUUAAACUUGAAAGUGACAAGAUUUAUAUGUAGCAAGCUAACAAUUCAAUACGUAAAGAAUGAGGUAUUUCACGGUUGAGACUUGCAGGGAAGAGAAGAAGGAUGUCGACUGCAAACACCCAUUGGUGUUACAGAUGCGAACAGCCAGUUCGACUUCGUGGGCGAGACAUGACUUGCCUUAGCUGUAAUGGAGGAUUUGUUCAAGAACUGGAUGAAAUGAUGGAAAGAAGUCCCCUUGAUUUAUUUGGAGCCAGUGGUAAUGAAUACCAAAACCGCAGGCUAGGACUCUUGGAGCUUUUCUCAAACUUUAUGAGGCAACGAUUGGUAGACAGAAAUGAUAUCAGGGGAAGGUUGGACUCAAUUCCAGAUCAUGGUCCAGGAUUUGGUCCUUGGUUGAUCUUUGGUGGCCAAAUUCCUGUUAGAUUGUCUGGACAUGGUGGAUUUGAAGCGUUUUUUAAUGGGGUACCUGGCAUUGGUGUGAGUAGGAGCAAUGGUGGUGAUUAUUUUAUUGGUCCUGGACUUGAAGAAUUGUUUGAGCAGCUUUCAGCAAACGAUCGACGAGGGCCACCACCGGCAUCAAGAUCUUCGAUUGAUGCAAUGCCUGUUGUUAAAAUUACACAAAGACACAUUCGUUCCAAUUCACACUGUCCUGUCUGCCAAGAUAAAUUUGAAUUAGGAUCUGAGGCUAGGCAAAUGCCAUGUGACCAUAUGUAUCAUUCAGAUUGUAUUGUUCCAUGGCUAGUCCAGCACAACUCCUGCCCUGUUUGCCGCCAAGAACUGCCUGCACAAGGGUCGGGUAGUAGCCAUAGCUCAUCUGGAAGCAACAAUUCUAGUCGAAACAGCCGAGAUAGGGAGAAUGGUAGAACGACUCAAGGAAGGAGGAAUCCAUUUACAAGUCUUUGGCCAUUCCGAGCAUCAAGCUCGAACUCUAACCAUAGUGCUACCACUGGAAGCAACUCACCAGCUCUACACGAGACUAACCAACACGAAACAGGGUACUACGGAUGGCCUUUCGACUAGCAUCAACACUGCGUUCCUAAACUUGUUUGCAGCAUUCAGUUUUUGUGAUUGUUAUUUAAGAUGAUGAAAAUAGUUCAAGCCCUGCAGUCCACUCUCUUGUAUAAUAAAUUGAUAAUAAUGGACUUCCUGUGUGAUGUAGACGACAUUUUUCUAUUCCUUAUCGAUGCUGCUGGAAUUUGUAUAUGCUUCAUGUAUAUUAGCAUGGCGUUUCUUUCUAGAGUUGCAGGUGGUCGGGAAAUCUGUCUGUUCAAGUGAGGAUUGCUGAAUCUUCUUCAACUGAAAGUUAAAACGUCCAAAUCAAGCUAUUCUAGUAUCUACUCAAAUUGACCAAUGUUUUCCUUAUGCAUCAUCAUUCAUACUAAAACUGUACAUGUUUUUCUAAAAGUAGAGGACAACAUAUUUUAGCAUUUAAGAAAUCUUUCAAGAUGGAUUGAGGAAAAAAGAAAAAAAAGGAAUGAGAUCUGAGAGUUACAGAUGCAAGAAAAAAAAGAUAAAAACGUGAUCCAAUAUUUGAGAUCAUGUGAGUUCUUAUACUUGAACAGUUUGGUUCUUGUACUUUGGAAAGUUACCAGGGUUCAAGGUUCAGCUUUUCAAAAAGUAUACAACAGUUCUUUAGAAUCUUUUUCUUUUGCCACGUACUAUUCCAAACAUAAUAAAAACGAGUUGCGAAUGGACAUGUAGUCCUCUCAAACUUAAAUUUAAAUUUAUUUAAAAAUUUAGAUCUUUGUUGUAUUUUGUUAUAUUAAAAAGGAAAAAAAGAGUGUUUUACAUAUAAAAAAUUAAAAGGCAAGCAUGGGCAAAUAUAACAAGUUUUGGUGUGAAAGUGUUGGAACUUUUAUCUCCUUAGUUUCAAGUUUGAAUUCUAGUAUGUUACAUUUCGAGUUUGGUUUUCAUUUAUUUUGCUUUUGAAGAUUUUAAAAUUAAUUAUAAUAGUAUUAGAAAAUUAGUGGAAAAAUAAUAAGUUGAGAGUGUAAAUCUUUUAAAACUUAAGCGUUGAAAGCAAACAAAAAAAAAGAGUAACUUUUUAAAAUGAAUAUAGAGAAAAUGAAGUAUAAAAAAUGUAUACAAAUUUAAAUUACAAAUUUGAUUAAUUUGAUUGCGAGACAGUUUUAACAUAUUUUAGUUAUAAAAGGUAACGAUUGUGUACUGCCAAUAGGAAUAAGGAGAGGGUGAGUUAGUUAAAAUAAUGAUUAUUGUUAUUGUUAUAACUUACAAGAAGAAAGAUAUUGAGAAUUCUUUACCAAUGAGCGAGAAUUGGAGUAAAAUUUCAUAUGAUUCUAGAAAACAAAGUUCAUAAACAAUUGCACAAACUGUGAAUACUGUCUUCUUUUUCAUUUAAGUUGGAUACAGAUCGCAGUUUUGGUGCCUCUUGAAAAAAGAACGAACAAAGCUUACUACAAACAACUUCAAAUCAGAACCAAUUUCAAAUGCAAAUCUUUUUGUAAGAAAAAAAAAUGCUCAAAAGAGGGAACUACAGCUACUAAAUAUGUCGGCUACUCGGUUAUUGGAGAACAAACAGACAUACUCUUCUUUCUGGAUAUCUGGAAUAAGGGAAUGAUAAAUGUUGCUUCAAUCUUCAUAAAACUCGGCCACUGAUUCAGUUGGCACUGGCGAGUUGAGUUCGGAGGAGCUUUGCGGCAGCAACCAUGUUCUUGAGAGCAGGAUUCACCUCGGCGUACUUGCGAGUUUUGAGACCACAGUCUGGAUUGACCCACAAGAUGUUGGUUUCGAGCACUGCAAGCAUCUUGUUGAUUCUGUCUGCGAUCUCUUCUGUUGAUGGUAUUCUAGGGGAGUGAAUGUCGUACACACCGGGGCCAAUUCCAGCACCAUACUUGACUCCCUCACGGAAAACUGACAAGAGCUUCUCGUCGGAGCGAGAGUUCUCAAUGGUGAUCACAUCAGCAUCCAUAUCGAUGAUGGAUUGGAUGAUGUCGUUGAAGUUAGAGUAGCACAUGUGAGUGUGAAUCUGUCAUGUAAUCAUUAGGUGAGUUUAACAUAUUAUGAACUUGUUGAAGGGGUAAUGAAAAUCCCAAUUGGUUAGUGAUGUAAACCUGAGUUGUGUCUUGGACACCACAGUUUGUGAUACGGAAAGAGUGAACAGACCAAUCCAAGUAGAAAGCAUGCUCAGACUUCCUUAGAGGUAAUCCUUCUCUUAAAGCAGCCUCAUCAAUUUGGAUGACAUUAAUGCCAGCCUUCUCGAGAUCCUCAACCUCGUCCUUGAUGGCCAAAGCGAUCUGAUAGCAUGUUUCGAAUCUAGAAGAUGAUAAUGUACACGAGAAGGAUUAGCCAUAAAGUCUGGUAUAAACUAUAAAGGGGAAAGAAAACAACUACAGUAGUUUCUUUCAGCUUGGAAACAUUAUCUUUCUUCUAUUACCUUGGCUGGUCGACUCUAACAAAAGACCAGUUGAGAAUGGUGACGGGGCCAGUGAGCAUUCCCUUCAUUGGGCGGGCUGUCAUGCUCUGAGCCAUGGUAGACCAGAAGACGGUCAUGGCUUUUGGGCGGCUCACGUCACCGUAGAUGAUUGGAGGCUUCACGCAACGAGAUCCGUAUGAUUGCACCCAACCAUUGACGGUGAAUGCAAAACCAGACAAUUGCUCCCCAAAGUAUUCAACCAUAUCGUUUCUCUGCAGUGAGGAUGAAAUUCAUAUUAGAAGAGCCAAAAUGAGGAGAAGGUACUACAACCUCCCUCGACAAAAACAGUGCUCUUGAUUUUCUGCUAAAUAGGCUCCAAAUAACUCACCUCGGGCUCUCCAUGAACCAGGACAUCAAUGUCGAGCUCUUCCUGGAGCUUGACAACCUUGCUAAUUUCUUCCUUGAUUGCCUUCACAUAUUCCUCCUCAGAGAUCCUAAAGAAUGGUAAAAAAAGAUGCAAACAUUAGAAACAGGGUUAAAGUAUUUAUGAACUUCAAGGAAAGCUGGUAUCAAUUUUUACUCACUUGUUAGCUUUGUAUUCACGACGAACCCUCCUGAGUUCAACAGUUUGAGGGAAAGAACCAAUGGUGGUGGUUGGAAGGAUUGGGAGAUUAAGCUUCUUCUGUUGAGCAUCGAGCCUUGCACUAACGUUUGUUGCACGGCGGUGAUCAGAGCCCUUCAAAGCAGCAGCCUGCACAAUCAAAAAGCAAUUAAUCAGUUAAUGAAAUCCCUGCAAACAGAUAGUUAAACACCUUAAAGAUAAGAAAUGAUUGUACGGACCGCUUUCUGAACAGCCUCAUUGGUCACCCUUGGGGAUGACUUCCUUGAAGCAUGAGCUUGAGCGUUAGAAGCAAAGAAUGCCUGAAAAGAAAAUUCCAAUAAGCUUAUGAGUUUGUGCCCAUCAAUUUCAAAAGGGUUAGUACCAAGGGAAGAACGUUCAAGAAAUAAUCUAAGUUACAACACAAAAGGUUAGAAAUCAAGGCCUAAAAACAUAGAAUACACCUUCAAUAGACAAAUGUCAUCCGAGUCAAGAAUAUACCUCAUCCUUUUGACCAGCCAAGGCCUUAGCCAAUGCAUUAACUUCAACAAUCUUUUGAGCAGCAAAAGCGAGCCAUGAUUUGAUUUCAUUGUCCAACUUGGUUUCAUUGACAAGGUCAACAGCAGUGUGAAGAAGUGAGCAGGAGGUGGAGACAACAAGAUGAUCUACAUAGUUUUUUUGGAUGAAGAAGGAAUGAGUAAAUAUGAACUCUCAAAUAAUAAUAAUUAAAUCAAGCAUCAUGAACCAACAUAGUAAUACAAAUGUAAGCAAAAGAAUAUCACCUUUACCCACAAGGGCAGUCAAUUCCUCCAAUGUGCUAACUGAAGCAGCAAGAUCAUUGGCCCAAAUGUUCCUUCCAUCAACUAGUCCAGCAAAAAGGUAUUUUCCCUUGGGGAAAUCACCCUUAAUCAAUUCAAGUGUCUUAGUUCCACGAACCAAAUCAAAUCCAUAGCCAGUGACACCCUUCAAAGAAGUAAGGGUCUUGUAUGCCUCAGCAGGGACAUCAGCGAAGUAUGUCUCAAUAAGAACAUUCAAGCCAGAGAGAGAUGAUUCUAGUUCAGCAUAUGCAUCGGAGAAGGCUUUCAAUUUGUGAGAAUCAAGGUCCAACACCAAUGUAGGCUCAUCAAACUGGAUCCAAGAAGCGCCAGCUGCUUUAAGAUCAGCAAUAACCUCCCUGAAAAGUUGGGCACCAUAUUAAUAUGUGAGAAAGAGAAUCAUUAUAGAAACACUAUGGAAAAUCUUGAUAGAGUGACGAAUUUUACUUGUAGACAGGAAGGAUCUUGUCAAGAAGGGAGAGGAGAGAGAAUGUCUUGUCAACACCCUUUGCAGGUUUGGAGAGCAACAAGUAUGACACGGGACCAACGAGAACUGGAACAGUGUCUACUCCAAGCUGCAUAAUCAAAAAAAUAUUUUUUACCUCAAUUCUUUGGUACUUGUAUACCCAAAUCAGAUUUCAUAGUCCUAAAAGGUAUACGCUCGUCUAAGUCAUUGAAGCAUGUCAACACAUUCAUAAUACAAUGCAAUCUGUUUUUUGCAAAUAUUAUACCGAAAUUCCACUCCAUGUGACACGGAUCUAUGGCCUAUUUCCAAUAACUUUAAUUAGGGACAGUGUUAAAUAUAGCAAUCAGACCCAAACUAUUAACAUAUAUAACACAAAGCAAAAUAAUUUAUCAAUACAACCAAAUUUAAAUCUAGCUCUCAGAAAUAGGAAGUCUAUUGGCGAUAUAGUUUAUUGAUAGAUUUUGCCAUACUUACAAUUCUUUAAAAAUGUUAUUAUAUACUUAACUAUUAACCCUAAAACUGCUACUCAAUGCAAUUAUCCCUUUAAAAUAAUUAAAUUCUCAAUUCUCAAUCAAAACUUCUGUUUCAAUUUUCCAAUGUAUUAUAUAUCUUAUUUUAUGAACAACCAACGCAAAUACCAGAUUCAACAACUUACAGCUUUGGCUUCUUUGUAUUCGUCCACUGCCUUAUGGGAAGCAUAAGAGAACUUCACCUCUGGUCCCAACUCAGGAACAAUGAAGUGGCUGCAUCAUUGAAUUGGCAACAUUAAUUAUACUGAUCUCAUUACACUGUCAUUGCAUACUAACAAAAGUAAAAGGCUAAGUGGGUUACUUACUAGUUUGUGUCAAACCACUUGGUCAUUUCCAUAGCUGGUACAGAUGCAUUUCCUCUAGCCAUGGAGAAGUAGGUAUCAAACCCAAUCUCACCACCAGUCCAGUUAUAUCUAGGAGGAACAGCCCCAAGCAAUGCAGUGGUGUCAAGCACCUGAUCAUAGCAUGAAAAAGUGUUGCUGGGAAUGUAUUUGAUCCCUGCAUCAGACAUCUGUUUCCAGAUGGACGACCUCAGAUCUGCAGCCACCUUCUUCAAAUCCUCUGCUGUGCUCUUCCCAUCCCAAAAUGAUUCAAGAGCAAACUUGAGCUCCCUCUUGGGACCCAUACGAGGAUAUCCAACGAUGUGAGAUGCCAUUGUUCUGCUCAAGAGAUCGCGGACGUAACGAAAUUCAAUUAGAUCCUCUCAACACUACUCUUAUCUCAAAUCCCAAAUCCAAUAGUCAACAAGUAACGGAAACAGCUAACACCAUGUUAAAUUAAAAACGCAAUACGAAAUUCAAGCCAGUGAAGAAGACUUAAGAACAAAGGGUUUGUAACACAUGCAGCAAAGAUCCAAUGAGUAAAGUUCACAUAAGCUAACAAUUCAGACCCAGAUAGAUCUAAUACUUAAAAUAGAAAACAACCCAUUAAAAUACAUCAGAUCUAGGAACACAAGUCUUCCAAGAAAACAAAAAUCCCACCAGAUCUACACGACAAUACUGUAAACACAAAAAACAGAGGAAGGAAGUAAAAUUCCGAACAAUCCUUAAGCAGCAGCAAUUAGAAGAUGAAAUCCAAAAUGGGUUCAGGGCAAAGUAUAAAAAAGAGUUCAUAACACAGUGGAUCUGAAUCCCAAAUUACAGGAAUGCCAGCAUACAUUGACAAAAAAAAAAAAAAAGAAAAAAAAAGUGAAAUUUAGAGAAACAGAGGAAUGGGAAAGCAUGGAAAAAACGGGUAAGGGAAAAGAGAGAAAACGGAGGUAACCUUGAGGAAGUGGAACACCGACAGAGGCUCCCCAAGGAGAAAAGAAAGAAAUGCGAGAGAGAUAAGAGAUAGGGAAAGAGACGAUGAUACUGGGGGAGCCACAAAUAAGAGAGAAGGCGCGAGUUGGAAGAAAUGGGAAUGAAGUUUAUUUAUAGAGAUCAGAGAUGAUGAGGUGGCAGAAGCAGAUCUGGGAUAUCGGAAAGUCACAGCCGGAGAUUGGAUGGUAGCCGGUGACAGACAACCAAAUGUGUAUUUCAUUUUGGUUUAAUUAUUUAUUUUGUUCUAGUGGUACACCGAUCAAUUCUCAUUUCCUAUACUCUAAAUUACUAUACAAUAUUUGACUUUCAACACCAAAUGUAAAUGAACACUUUUUUAAAAUUUGAUGAAUUUGUUCAUAACUCACAAUUAAACCAACAUAUAAUCAGCAAAAACUUUAGACUUAACCAUUACCUACUAAACUAUAAAUGUUAAUUAAAGAAAUGAAAGUAUUGAAAUAUGAGUUUUAAUCCUUCAAUGAUUUAUUAGACAAUAUAUAUAUAUAAUGUGUAAUAAAAAUGAAAAGAAAAAAAGAAAAGAGAGAGAAAGUUUUGAGUAGGAGAAGAUGGAAUGAGACGCGUGAAGUUGGGGGCGUGGGAGAGAGGGAUUUAAGGGAAAAGGCGUAAUGUGGAAGUGAGGAAGUAGUGAGGGAGUGAGGGAGUGAGUGGCCACCACCAUUUCUUUUUCUUUAUUUUGCGUCCGAGACAAAUGCUGUGCUUCUCCCUAAACUUUCACCUCACCAAUCUCAUUCUAAUUCAAAUUAACUCAAACAUUAUUCAUCUUUUAAAUUGAAAUGCUAAUCCAUUCAACUUUUAACAAAUCCUCAUUCAACAUUCAUUUUCAAUCAUCUUUCGACAGAGAAGAAAAAUAUAACAUAUUUAGAAUGGGAUGAAUCAAGAUUAAUCUUGAUCUAAUUUGUGUUUUGAUUUUUUUUUUAUUAUUAUUAUUAUUAUUGUCACUAUUAACGUUAAUAUUUUAUAGAAAAACUGCACAUUUUUAAUUAAUUGAUUGAAAAUCGACAACAAAAGUUAAACGAAAGUUUUUCUUACCUUAGAGGUAAAAAUGUAAUAUUUUAAAUGUUUGGGACCAAAUGGCAUACUCUACACUCAAUAUUAGAGAUGAGCAUAUGGUGGAGGAGUGGGGCUGAGGUGAGUUUCCUAUUCUUGUCCUGACAUCCUUUCUCCCUUUUUCAUUCACCAUUUAAGCAAAGUUUCUUAUCGUUUGACAUUUGUAGGAAACUCCAUUUUAAUCAAUUAACAUAAAGAACUACUAGAAAAGUUUUAAGUUAAACAACUCAAUUUCUCUCUAAACUUUUAAGUUUGGAUUUAAAGAGAAAUUACUCUAAUAUACUUGCAAAAUGGAAUCAUUAAUCGAUAAAAGUAUUCAAAUAUAAUGUAAAUUUGGUUAAUGCACAUUUAAUAUUUUGUUAGAAAUCGGAUGUAGAAAUUAAUUCUUACCAUCUAUUGCUAUAGUAAAUUAAGAUAAAACAAUUAUUAUUAAUCCUUAUCAUAAUUAAUUGUUCUAAAAUGAACUUUAGUAUAUAUAUUUAAAAGUGAAAUUACAAGUUUUUUUCUUCCAAACUUUUGUCAAAUAACAAUUCUUUAUACACUAAAAAAGGCCAAUACUAUUUGCAUCGGGAGAGAAUUAAUAAUAUGUAUCAACUACAAUACAUUUUACUAUUUACGUUACAAUAAGUUAGUAUUUUUCUUUUUUUAAAAAAAAAUGGUUAAAAAUAGAAAACUAUUUACCUUUAAAAGAAAAAUCAAGUAUGGUAGAUUUUAUAUUUUAGCGAUUUUAUUUAUAUAUAUAAAAAAAACAACAACAAUUAAAUAUAACUCAUGCCCUCCUCAUCAUAAAACCUUUUAGAAAAAAGGAAGACAAACAAAAGCUCAAAAAAGAACUCCAAGUAGGAAAAGAUGGCCAAUAUGAGGAGCAAGUGUGUAAAAAAAGAGACGGAUUCGAGUAUUCGUGAAAUGUUGAACAACAACGAAUUUUCAUAGUUAGAGGAAAGAUAGGGGAGAUUCGAAAUAUAUAAACAAAGCUCUCUUCCAUGUCCAAGCAUGGUUGAGGCAUAAUUUUAAUAUGUACAAUGAGUUGUCUCUCAAGUUUUUUUAAAAAAAGAAAGGUUAUAUGGAUGAAUUUAUAAACCCUAAAAUUGGGAAUGCAAGUGAUGUGCACACGCUUGUAGAACGCGUGGCAUGAGAGGAGAUUUUGCCAUUACAUGUUUUGUUGUAUAAAAUAAAUUGGAAUUUUUUUUUUUUUGUAAGACUUUUUAUUUACUUAUUUAUUUAUUUGCAAAAAUCAAUAUAAAAAAAGAAUGUCAUAUUCAGAAAAUUAGGAAAGCAAAGGAAAUUAGAAAAAGAAAUAAAGGAAAGCAAACGCAUUUGGUGGUUGAAAUUGAUUGGGGGAUUGGUGGUGGAUGUGACUCUAAACAACUCUUUUAUAUAUCUACCAGUUGGUUGCAGAUCUAUCUCUUCUUCUUUUUUUUUUCUCAAUUACCAAUUUUAUGAGUUAAUUAAAACACUUUCACAACUCUAUACUUAUUUAGAAGGAUUUAUUAAACACCAAAUUAAAAAUUCAAACACUUUUGAGAAAUAAGAUUGAGGAUAACAAUGCAAUCGCAUGAGUUGGUAGAACAAGUGUCAUCGUCUUGAUUAACUCCUUAUUGCCACUUUGUAGAUAUGAAUUUGUCUUUUCAUCUUCUUCUAAGUCAUUUUCUUAAUGUAAACAAAUUUAUUUUUAGCACACAUGCAUCAUGAAAUAACUUAGGUUUCGUUUUAUAACUAUUAUUAUAUUUUACAUAGUUUUGUGAAGUUAGAUAUGUUUUAGUUUUAAUUUGUAUUUUAAAUUUGUUUAUUUUCAAAGGUGAUGGAAUAUUUUAAACUUUACUAAACAAAAGAAAAAAGGUUAAGAAUGUUUAAUUUCCAACCAAACCUACCAAUCCUUACCCAAACUAGGUUGAUUAAUGUUAUAAAAUACUGAUACAAAAGUUAUAAUUAAUAUGGUAUUGUAAUAUAAUAGAUUUUUUAAUAGAAUUAAUUAGUAUUGUACACAAGCUAGAAAUGUCCUUACAAUGAAAAUUAGAAAAUGGGUCUCUUUUCUAUUGAAUAUUUAUAUUCCUUAUAUAUGUGUAUAGUCUUUUCUUAUUCUUAUUAGAAAUAUUGCAUUGAUGUAAGGUGUAAGUUGAAGCAGUAGAGAUGUAGGUCUUGGUUAAUUAAUGAACUAAAACUCAUAUUAAACCAAUAAAAUGAAAACAACAAUCAUUUACUCUGAUUGUGUAAUAGUUUAAUUAAAAAAUGACAUUUGAAUAAGAGACAAUAUUGAUAUUAUUGAUUCCAUCUAUGACUUAUAUAAGGUAGCAUAGAAAUUGAACUUUCAAUUUUGUGGUUUUGUUAGUUAAAUUUUAAAAUUUAACUUUAUGAUUAUACAAUAAAAUUUAUGGUAUUGUAUAAGACACUAAAUAUUAAGAUCUUUAAAUCGAGUGAUUUUCACUAUUAUAAUAAUUCUAUUCCAAGGAUGGUUUAAGAGAUUGUGUUUGUAUAUAUAUAUACUUUUGCUCAUGCACACCAUAGCUAUGCAAAUUAAAAACACUUAAAUUAUUAUUUUUUGGAUUACUAAGCACCUUAGGUCAUAAUUGGUGUAAUCAAAGUAAGUAUUUUAUUAAUGGGUGAAUUUGGAUGAUAGCAUUUACCUAGAAUUAUAAAUUUAUGGUUCUUACAUAUUAACUUUAAUAGUUAACCAAAUAGUAAAGGACAACAAUAAAUGCAACAAAUUAAUUGACGGACUUAAUUACAUACUUUGAGGCAGAUUUCAUCACACGAUGAUUAACAUUAACACAUAUGGAUUAGCUUUUGGGCUAAACGUAAUCUUAAUUUAUUAAUGAUGUUAAAAUUUAAUGGGACAUUCUCAUUAUAAUAAAUUCAUGAAAUGCACAAACAAAAAAGCCAAAAUAUUUAAUUUAUUGUUUUCACAAUAGAAGUAAAAUUGUUUUUAUUAACUAAUAAUUCAAAUAUUUCUUUUAUAGUUUAAUUGUUUUCUAAUAACUUCUUUUUUUUUUAAUAUCCAAACUCCACAUUUUAAAAAAACAACAAAAGGAAAAAGAGAUUAAAAACAAAAAACAAAAAUAAUAUAUAUAUAUAUAUAUAUAUGUUUAUACAAUUCGUACAUUGUACAGAGAGCAAAGCGUUGAGAUAAUCGUACUCUGUUUCACCAUUUUUCUUUACAAACCCAAUUCAAAUUUUGUUCCUCUCUCUUAAACUCGAAAUCUUCGAGCAUUACAACACAAACAAAAAACAAGAAAAGAUCAUAAACCGAAUUCCACUAACAAUUAAAAAUUGAAAUUGAAAUUAGGGCCAAAUCAAAUCAACACAAACCCUAGAUUCCUUGAGAAACUCAUCCAUUACAUUCUCAUCGGCACAGAUCCGGGUCUUGUAAUUAUUGGCGUAACAGCAGUCGGAUCUGGGCAACACCGAGUUCCCAUGGGCAGAAGAAGAAGAAGAAGAAGAGGGCAUGGUCGUUGGUGGAGAAGGGAGAGUGAGGGAGUAGUCGGGAUUGGUGUCGUGGUGACGGAGGAGUUGGGAGAGGAGGAGGAGAAGAGAAGCCAUGGAUGAUGAUGGGAGGGAAGUGAAGGAAAUUAGUUGGGAGGGGGAUUGAAUGAAUUGAAAAGAGUAGGGAGAUUUGUUAUUAAUAAUGAAGGGAAUUGAAUGAAUGGCAUUUAUGGGCUCUCUUCCCACCGUUUGUAAGAUUUUCCAAUGGGUAAUUUAAUUACAAUGAGUCCGUCUUUCCACUGUUUAAUGUUUAGUGUUCUUAGUUUUCUCCGCCGGUAUUCUUUGUUUUCUUUCACAACAAAUGAAUCCAACGCUUAACAAAACCAACGCCAAAAAUCAGUGGGUCUCCCUCUCUAUGUGUAAGAUUUGAAGUAUAAGAAAGAAGAAGAUGCCUAAACUGCUCUCAAACAUCACUAAUAACGCAUCACACUUCACACUUUCACUUGUGCUGUUUUUCUUUCUUUUUAUGCUCUUCUUAAUACUAACUUUAUUUAUUGUUUCUCACUUAAAGUCAUUUUCUUUCACUCAUAUAUUUUAACUUGCAUUUGGGUCAUUUUUUUAUUUUCUUCAAUCCUAGUUUUUCUCUCUCUUUUUUAUGGAGAGUGGUGAAUGCAUAUGAAAAAAAGACAAGGUUCAAAUUUAAAUUGAAACUUUAGUCUUUAUAGUUUUAUAAAUUAUAAUUUAAUUAGUGCGAUUAUAUAUGAAAUUUUGUAAACAAAUCUUAAAACCCUCCUAUCCACUAUUUAAAUUGAAGUUUAGCCUUUAUAGUUUUAUAAAUUUUGUAAACAAGGUUACACUUAUGAUGUGUAUACAAUCUUUGUACACAAUUAUGUACAAAGUAUAAAAGAUCUUGGUAUACAAUUGUGAACCAAGAUUGUUAAUAGAUUGUAUACUUGAUCGCUUUGCUAUUAGUAUGUGAUCGUGUACCGAUUCAAGAUCUUGUACCAAACCUAAAAAAUCUUGGUACACAAUCGUGAACCAAGAUCAUUUAGGUUUUAAACACGAUCGUUUAGUUCGUACUACGCGAUCAUAUACCAAUAUGUGAUACACACAUGUAUGAUCGGUGUUGAUACUACCUACACGAUUGUGUAUCAUUGCCUAUACGGUCAUGUGUCAUUUCUUAAAUGAUUACAUAUCAUGAUCAUUUAGAAGAAGAAUUACGUGUGCGUGUGUGACUGAUUAAUCGCGUGUUGACUAGAGCAUUUUUGGUAUUUCGCAUCAUGAGCUUGUGGACUUUUUCCGAUUUUGAAAUUGCCACUUUGUUAUACUUUUUUGAAGAGUUCUUUUAUUUAUUCAUUUGUUUGUUUUGAUUUGUUCAUCUAAUUGAUUUGGUAAGACUUGUGUAAUUUUUUUAAGAAUUGAUUUGGUAAGAGUAAUAUGAUUUUUUUACUCUCCUUCUCUUUGUUUCUUUCUUCAUGUUCUUAUUUAUCUUAUUUUCUCUAAUACUAUUAAUAUUUAAUUCUUCUUAUUAAUUUGACAUUUGUAAGUUUUAAGUGACAAAUUUAAGUUAAGUCUUUUCUUAACCUUUCUAAUUGUAUACAUUUCACCCUAUACCAAAUUUGGUUCCUUUUUUGUUUUUAUAUUUCGAUUACUUUACAUAUCAACUUUUUACAUUUUUUUUAAGUGAAAGGAUUGCCAAAUUAAAAAAAGAAUAAAAAAAUAAAAGAAUUCAAAUUUCAAAUGUACAAAAUAUAUGAGAAUUUAAUAUAUAAGAAAGUUAUACAACAACAAUUUAAUAUCUCAAAUUCCAAAUUAGAGUUUGGUUUAUUUGAAUGCCAAGUUUUCCCACCUACUCUUUCUUAAAUUAUAAGAAAGAAAAAAAGGAUUAAAGUUAUAGAAAGAUGAACUUGAAUAAAUAUUUGUAAUAAUAUGUGACGUUGGGUAUUGAGGAUUAAAAAUUGGUGAAGAACCAACUCCAAACCUCUUUAAAUUUCUAACACAAAAAUCCCAAUCUUGACUUUGUAAUACCAUCCUUCUCAUAUCAAAUAAUAAUAACAAUAAAUUAUUGGUUUUUCCAAACAAGACAAACACAAAUGGAUUACUUACAAAUAUAUUUUCAAAUAUAGCAAAUAAACCAAAAUAAUAAUCUAUUUAAAAAAUAUAACAAAAUUUCAUAUUCUAGUUUUAAUCUAUUUGUUGUUAUUCAAAAUAUUUUUUCAUAAUAAUAAUACAUAAAUAAAUAUUAGGAACAGAGAGAGAGAGAGGAAUAUAGUAUCUAGAAAAGUUUAAUUCCACAGCAUAGUAUAAAAUACAAAUCCAAGGAAAAAGGAGAAUUUGUGUUUGCACAAUGUUUUCUAUAUUUUAAGUUGUACCAUCUCUUUUUACAUUCAUCUCAACCACACAAUACAAUAAUAAAAGAAGUUUACAAUAUUUGAAAAAAAAAAAACAAGAAUUUGUCACAUCACAAGUGAUAGGAUGAUUACUUAGCAAAAUAGGAUGCAUAACAAUGUCUCUCUUUAUCUGUCACUAAAAAUCCUCCAUUUCUAGCAAACAUUUGGUAAUGUUUGUAUGAGUUGAAUUAUUGGGUUGUGUAAAAAAAAAAAAAGAAACCUAAAUUCUCAAAUCAUCACUAUCAAUAAAAACAAAAAAGGAUUAAAUUAAAAAAGAAAAUCCCACAAAGCUUCAUCCUUGUUUGUAAUGUGUAUCUUAUUAAACUAAAAAAACAAGGAAAGAGAGGGGUAAUAGAACAAGUCUCCCAUUGUUUUUCACAUCCCCACUUGUCGAUCCCUUACUCCUCUCUCGCCGGCCUUUCUCUGCUUUUAAACACUCUCUUUCUCAAACCCCCUGUUUCUCCCCCCAAAAAUAAUGGAUCGUCUCAUCACCCUCGAACCCUCCAACCUCAUUCCCAUCCGAAUCGACCCCCCCCACAAAUGCUCCGGCGACCUCACCCUCCGGAACGUCAUGUACACCAUGCCUGUCGCCUUCCGACUCCAGCCUCUCAUCAAAUCCCGCUACACUUUCAAGCCCCAAUCCGGAAUCAUUCCUCCACUCUCUACUUUAACAGUCGAAAUCCUUUACCAUCUUCCACACGGCGUCAGUCUCCCCGACUCCUACCCUUAUUCCGAUGACUCUUUUCUCCUCCACAGCGUCGUCGUCCCCGGCGCCGCUAUCAAAGACUCUUCCUCAAGCUUCGACUCUGUUCCUUCCGAUUGGUUCACUACCAGAAAGAAACAGGUGUUUAUCGACAGUGGGAUUAAAGUCAUGUUCGUGGGGUCGGCUGUGUUGGCGAGAUUAGUGGCGGAUGGGGCUAUGGAUGAGAUUAGAGAGGUGUUGGAGAGGAGUGAUCCGAGUUGGAGGGCGGUGGACUCUGUGGAUGAAAAGGGGAGGACUCUUCUUCACUUGGCGAUCGGGCAGGGGAGAGCGGAUUUGGUGCAGUUGCUGUUGGAGUUCAAUCCGGAUGUGGGGAAAGUGGGGGAGAGUGGGAUGACGGCGGUGGAGGCAGCGGCGGGGGCUGGGCAGGCGUUGAUUGUGGAGUUGUUAUUGGCGAGGAAGGCGAGUACAGAGCGGGGGGAAGGAUCUGUUUUUGGAGCGAUUCAUUUGGCAGCGGCGGGAGGGCAUGUGGAAGUGUUGAGGCUGCUAUUGGUGAAAGGAGCUUGUGUUGAUGCUCUGUCAAAGAGUGGAGAUACGGCACUGCAUCUGGCCGUUCAAGAGCGCCGCCGUGAUUGUGCUCGGUUGCUUCUCGCCAAUGGCUCUAAACCUGAUGUUCGUAGUGCUGAACAAGGUUACACUUUCUCACUUUUCACUCUAUUUUUUACAUCUAACUAUUUUUUCUUCUCUCUUUUAUUUUUUUUAAAAAAGGUUAAAUUGUUAAAAUAUAUAUAUAUAUAUGAAUUUUUUUAGUAUUUAUUUCAAUAUUAAUUGUGGUCAUUAUUUAUAAAUGGUUCAAAAUUGUUGUAAGUAAUGUUUGUUUGUUUGUUUUUUUUAUAAAAAAGUUCACAACCUUAUUUAAAUAUUGAAUGCUAAGAAAAUUGAAAUUAGAGACAAGAUAUUUAAUUUAAGCUUGGGAAGCUAUCUUAAACUAAUGCAAUUAAUUAAUCCAUAUGGUUACAAAACUUUCUUUAUCAAACCAUUUUUUAGUUGUUUAAUUCUCCGUGGUUUCUAUUUAAUUAAUCAUUAGUCUUAGGAAGUGUCAAUUACAAAUUUAAAUUUAUAAUUAUCCAUCCAUUAACGAGUUGACUAAGGGUAGACUAAAAAACAAAGCAUUGUUGGGCAAAAAUGACAUUUCAAUUGAUUAUUUGUUUGAUAAUUAUUUAGUUUUUAAAAUUUAUUUGUGUGUUCCAUUUUUCACCAUUUUUUAAAUGAAAAGGUUAAAUUUUGCAAUUUAAGUACAAAAAUCUGUAGUUAAUGUGAAAAGCAAAUAUUCCUUUGUAACUAAAAUGGUGGUUCUUAUUUACAACACAGGAGAUACGGCGCUGCACAUGGCCGCAAGAAUCGGUGAUGAGCAAAUCGUUAAGCUUUUAAUUCAAAAAGGAGCCAACAAAGACAUCCGAAACUGGGUUGGAAAGCGUCCAUACGACGUUGCAUUUGACCACUCCCACACCCGCCUCUUCGACGUCCUCCGCCUUGCCGACAAGCUUGCCACUGCAGCACGCAAGGGCGACGUUCGCUCAAUUCAACUCCUCGUCGACAGUGGUGCUGCUAUCAAUAGUCGCGAUCAAAACGGCUGGACAGCACUCCACAGAGCUGCCUUCAAGGGCCACACCGACGCCUCAAGAGCCCUCAUCGAUAUUGGUAUAGAUGUCAAUGCUAAGGACGACGACGGCUAUACUGCACUUCACUGUGCUGUUGAGGCUGCUCAUGAUAACGUUGUCCAAGUACUCGUCGAGAGAGGCGCCGACGUUGAGGCGGUGACGAAUAAAGGGUUGAGUGCAAUGCAAAUUGCUCAAUCAAUGCAGUAUACAAGGACUAUGAGGAUUUUGAUGCACAGUGGUGUGAGUAAAGAUCACAUCGACGUGCCACCGACGCGAACGACGUCGUGGCAGGGGUUGGCGAAGAAGAAACAACAGAGUAAAGGAAGAGGGAGAAUCAAGAGUUUGAGGAGUACGGACUUUGAUAAAUCAGUAGCACUGUCAGUGGUGUGAGAAAAUUUGUAAAGAAUUUGGAGGGAACAUGAUCACUAUAUUUAAUUAGUGUUUUAUAUAUAAAUGUGGGUGUGUAUUUUUUGUAUGUACGGGAAUGAGAAUGUGAUGAGAUGAAUUAUAUGUAUAUGUAUAUUUUCCAUCACUUGUUUGUUUAAAGUUGAAGCAACUUUUAUAAUAAUUAUUGGAAUUUUGUAAUUAAUUCAAACUUAAAUGGGAAGAAGUUUCUGAAUAUUGAUGUCUAAUUUUAAAAAUAUUGUAAACAUUAACAAAUAAUUUGACAAAUUUAUGAUUGUUUUCUAAAAAUAGAAUAUAAGAAUAGAUGAAAAGUAUAAUUGUUAAGAACUAGGGGCGGCCUUGGUUUUUCAAUAUAUAUAGUAGAGGUCAAUUUUUAAUGUUGUCACAAACUUCUUUGGGAUUCUCACACCACCCUUCAUCUCUUCCUAUCAAAUCAAUCCACCUUUUUAAAUUUUUUUUUUUAUUAUUCAUUAUAUAUAUACAUUUGGACAAAUAUAAAAAUUAUUUCAGUUAAUUUCGUUAUAAACCAAUCUUCUUUCUCACCAUGCAAAUAAUUGAUAAAUAAGUUAGCCUCCAUUUAAUUUAAUCACUAUUUUGUUUCUCGUUUUUACGUGAAAAUUUCUAUGCCCACUCGUAGUUGUUAUAUAUAAAAAAAAAGUUAAUAAAUAAUUGGAAGAAAAUGAUUAAAUAUAAGUUUAGGAAAUAUAAUGUUUUAAAUUUAUGAAUAUUAUUUAACAUUGAAAUGAAAUUUAUUUUAAGAGUGAUAAAUAGUCAACGGGAGCCAUGUGAUAGGUUUUUUCAAAAUGCCAACUUCACUUUACUUUACUUUUAUCUACAAUUAUGUUACAUAUAUUAAUUAGUAUCAUUAUUUAUCAUAGGGGUGUUGAUUUUUUAAUGGUACAUAUAAUUUUUAAAAAGUGAUGAUAUUGGGAUGGUUGACUUAGAAAAUGAUUAGUUUGGCAAGAUGAGUGAUGAGAUUGAUCCUGUAAGAUGUGUAGUCCAUAAAUAUGAUCACACACCUUGACACAAAGAAUAAUAAUUAAGUAGUCAUAUAAGCUCAAAAUUAUUUACAAACUUGAAAGAAGAAGAAGAAUAUGGCAGGAAUAAUGAAGAAGAUCCAGGAAACAGUGCAGAGCCAUAAGAAGCAACACGAUGGGGAGAAUGGAGCUCAUGAAGGAGUUGGGAUUGUGGAGAAGAUGAAAGAGAAGAUCCAUGGUUACAAAGAGAAAAACAAAGAGAAGAAGAAGCAAAGGAAGGAGAGGAAGGAGAAAAAAGAAAAAGAGAAGAAGGAGAAAAAAGCCAAACAAAAAGCAGAAGAAGCAGAAGAAGAAGAAGAUGGGGGUGAAAGCAGCGAUGGCGAUAGUGACGACAGUGGUGGCGGGAGCGACUAAUAAGUACUGUGUGUCUUAGCGUUUCGUCCUUUCUUCUUCUUCUCUUUUUCGAUUCCUUUUUAGCUUUCUAUUAGAAUAAUAUUGCAUGAUUAAAUAUGGAUCGGAGUUGAAAUUCAAACUUAUUUCUUUUGUGUUUCUUCAAAUUUGAAUGUGUCACAUUUUAUCAUACAACAACACCACACAAGAUCUUAGAUGGUCAUUAAUAUCUACAUGGAUGUUGUCCUUCAUCCAUGGUGCUCCUUCGACUUCUCGUGCGUCUCUUGUUUUUCUUCUUCCUCCUCUUUUUUUCUCUUUAAAAGUUGAAACAAAAUUUAGUUUUAUAAUAUAUAUAUAUAUAUAUGAAUCCAAAUGUAUUAAAAGAAAACUAUCAAAAGUUUACCGUAUCUAAUGCAACCUAAUUUCUGUGCAAAAUUCAUCUCAACAAUCAAAAUCUUUAUAUAUUUUAAAUGCUAUCAAAUUUUUUGAUCUACAAUGUGUGUAGGAGUGUUUUUCCAUUGAUCAAGAUUUUUAUCUUAAAUGAUGCUAACUCAAGUCAACCACGAUUAAAUUGCCGUAAAAAUGUUGUAUUAAGAAAAUAUUUAAACUUUAAAGUAAGUACACAUUACAUUAUUGAUAAAUUUCAUAUUCAAAACUAAAAGUUUAAAUUAGCAUAGUUUAACUAUGCCAUAGAAUUUGUGCUAUCGACUUAAAUGUGAGAAUUUCAAUUCUUCUUUGAUCUUCUAGUGUUAAAUAAAAUUUAAAACUAAAAAGAUUUAUAAAUACUCGACCAAAAUCUAGUAUUUGCCUCUCAAAGAAUACACAACCAUAAAUACACAUUUUGCAAAAAUAAAAAAAUGCAAAUAUAUACACAAUAAGGAUUGAAAUUUAAAAAAAACUAUGAUUGUUUUCAAAUAUAAUAAAAGAAAUAAAAAAUUUAUAUGAUAUAAUAAAAUUUUAUAUUUUAACGGUUUUAUCAUUUAAAACAAUUUUUCAAGUUCGAAAAAUAAAAUUAAAACAACGAGUAAAGAAUACAUUUUCGAAAAAGGAAACAUACAAUAGGUAAAGAAAUAAAUAAGAAACAAAGAAAAGGAAAAUGAUAGAUUAAAAAAACUACAAUUUUUUUUGUGGAGUUUCUCAAAUUUGAACCAGUUUUACGACUAUAUUUUCAAAUCUAAAAACAAGUUAUGAAAGUAUUUUUCAACAAAUUUGUUUCUUGAAAAUUGAAAAUAAAUAGAAAAGCAUGAAAAGAAAAAGGACUAUUCUAUUUUUAAAAUAUUAUUUAAAACUAUUUCUCUUAUAUCAACUUAGUCGUGGAGACCCACAAUUUUAGGUUUUGAAAUAUAGAGUUGCAAUCAUUUAAACUCUAAAUUAAUAAUGGAAGCAAUUGAAAUCUUUAGCUUUUGUAAAUAUAUCAAUCCAUGCCCUUUUUCAAAUAAAUUGUGAUGAGUACAUCAAUUUAGAUCCUUUAUACAUCAAAUCAUCCCUUCAAAUCUUAAAAUUGACCUUUUUUUUCCAUUUGUACUUAGUGCAAAAGUCAUAUUUGUACUAUGGAUUUUUUUUUUCUUUUCGUUUUAUAAAAUAUAGUAAAAUGUUUCAAACUUGUUAAAGUUAAUUUAAUGCUAUUAGUUUAAUUUUUGUUUGCUAUCUAUAAUCAUUUCCCCAUCCCUUUUAGUAUUCAACAAACAUAAUAGCAAAUUUCUUUUGGUACCCAAGCAUUUCACAUAAUAAAUAGAACACAAGAGUGAUUUUUCUUUGGUCCUCUAACCUUCAUUUUCAAUAUGUUUAGGAGACAGCUGUUUCAUAUAUGGCAGAUAUUUCAAAAUUUAAAGCUUCCAAAUAAAACUAAAUCUAAGGUUGUUUACUUCUUUUGGUACCCAGUAUUGAACCAACCCAUGUCACAAUGGAUCGUUGGGAAUCUACAAACUCACUCCAGAUUUUAUAUCAACAUUCAGAAUUUUCAUGGUGAAACUGUUUUGAAUUUUGAUAUCCUUUUUUUAGAGUCCCAACAAAUGACCUAUUAGUACUUGGAAGCAAUUUUUAUGCAUUUCUGUUGUUUCUCCAACUAAAGUGAGUUUCCCGUAAUUGAUGUCUCCGAUCUUCUUCCCUAAUUAAAAGUAAAAUGUUGGAUUUCCAGUCCGAAUAAUAAUAAUUAAAAAAAACCACCAUAGAGAUGUUAUGAACAUUAGUAAAGAUCAUAUAAAAUCUCUUAAUCUUUAUUAUACAUCACACAUACAGUACAUAACGUAGUCUUAGAUUAAAAACAAAAAGAAACAAAGAUAGAGAAACAGAGAUCGGAAACAGAGGGAUGAUUAAUUAAACCAAAAGGGAGUGAGAUUAUUCUUGAACACACCAGCACGCGAUCGGAACACAAUCUACCUCUUAAUAAUGAUUCCGAGAUCUGACCCAUCAAUCGCUAUCGCUAUCGCUGCUGCUAUCUCCACCUUCGUGUUUGUGGCCGUGCUCACCCUUCUUCUUCUUCUCCUUCUUCUUCUUCUCCCCUUUCUCCUCAUGAUGAUCACCCCCAUGGAUCUUAUCCUUGAUCUUGUCCAUUAUCCCUUCCUUGUGCGCCCCUUCUCCAUGGUGCUCCUCGUGCUUCUUGUGUUCAUCGUGAUGCUCACCCUUGUGCUCGCCCUUGUGAGCGUCGUGGUGCUCUCCCUUGUGAUCGCCUCCAAUGUGGAGCUUCUCGCCGAUUUUCUCAAUGAAUCCAGACAUGUUUUGAUGAUGAAUUUGGAAUGGGGUUUUGAAGAGGAUGCGUGUUUGUGGAAAAUGGGGAAGGAAAGAAGGGGAAUUUAUAGAUGGCGAGGGAGGAGGAAAGACGAAUUGAAACGAAUAAAUUCAGUUUAUCCACAAUGUAUCCGUUGAUUUUGAUUGACGUUAUCUUAUUGCUUUAAUAAUUGCGUUUUUUUUAUAUAUUAUUAUUAUCCUUUUUUUCUGAUUCGUUUACGCGGUAACGCCACGUGUCACACGCUCUUCACCACGUCUUUGUUUUUUCCCUUUCACUUUCUAUUUAAUUCUAUUUUUUUGCUUUCAAUCAUACUAAAAAUAAUAAUUAGAUAUCUAAUCAGAAAAGUUUGGAGAAUUUGUUAGAAUAAAUUGUGCCAUUUCUACAGGUUAGGUUCAAGAUUUUGAAUGGGUUUGCGUUCCACCAAGUAAAUAUGAAUAUUAAUUGUAAAGGAAACUAAGAAAUUGAAUCUGAGAUUUUUUUAAUCAAAGAAAUUUACUGUGUUGGAUUGAGAAAAUUUUAAGUGUAUAUCAUAGUGUGUAUAAGAUAUGAAGUAAACUAAGUAUUUAUAGACUUAUUAGGUACUUUUAUUAUAUUUUUUCUUUUUAUGUUUAAGUGAUUUAUUUGACAUUUUUUUAAAUUUUGAAUUAAUGGGUGUUUUUCUAAAGCAUUAAAGCAUUCACUCAGAUGAAAUCUACCAAAAUUAAUUCUGUGUAACUUUUCAUUUAAUAUAAUGGACCCAUGAUGCCAUAACUCAAUUAAUGUUUAAAAUAAUAAUAAAAUAAACGUGUGAAAUUAAAUGAAAAAAUAUUGUUUAAAAUGAAUUUGAUUUAGUGGUAUUUGUACGACGUUUGUUUUUAUUGUUAUCGAUAAAAUCUUACUUUGAUCUAUAUUGAUGAAUAUAUUUUUUAAAAAAAUCAUGAAAAAACUAUUAAAAAAAACGUUUUAACUCUAAAUAAAUCAAAAUACUUCAUUUUGAAGAAAAAUUUAAGUACUUACUAUUGAUAUUAUAUUUACAUUAGUAUGUUUAAGAGUUAUGUCCUUUAAUGCAUCUAAAUCAUGUCAAUAUCUACUACUUAAGUAUACAUCAUUAUAGCUUUAUGAAAACUAUAUCCGUUCUCCACUUUUGAAUUUUCUCAACUUAGUCCACUUAUUCGUUUUCUAAUGAAAACAUCAAAUAAUGUAUGACAAAAUUUCGAUGUUUCGUUUUAACUACGAAGAGAUAACAUUUCUCUUUUCAUUAUAUAACUCUCGACUAUAUUGGUUGGUGUUUGAAAAUUUAAUAUCUUUUAGUUGAAAAAUAAUUAUAUAUAUAUAGAUGUACUCAUUCAUCGAAUAUGAAAUUUGAUGUAUAGAGAUCCGAGUUUAGAAAAAAAUUACAAUAUUAUUAUUUAGUAUUGUUUCGAGUCACGAUAUAUAUAUAUUAUAUAUAUUUAUUUUAUAAACAUCCUUUGAAAUAUUAAUGUAAAUAUAAAAUAGAAGUCAUGGAUAGGCGUGCAGAUAUGAAAUAAAAUGAAAUAAUUAUUUACUAAUCCAACUUGUAAUAACAUAAUAAAUAGCAAUAAUAAUACAUAUGAAUCAAAAUUAAUUUACAUGUUGACAUUAAUUCGGUUAUAUAAAGAAAAGGUAAACCUAACAAUUUGAAACUAUGGAAAAUAAGAUGUUGAACUAGAAGAAUCCUAAAGUAAUGCUCACAUGUUGAAUUGAAGACUAUACAAUUACAUUAUUUCAUCAUCAUAGUGAACCACUAUAAGAUAGGAGAUUGAACCUCUCACAUUUAAAAUAGAAGAACAUAUCAAUUAUUAUUGAACCAAGUUCACUUUACAUUUAUAAGAAGUAGUAUGUAUUAAAAUUUUGUUUAAACUGAAUUGUAAUUAAAAUGAAAAUCCUAUCAUAAAAUUAUAUGGCGUGAAUAGGUUAUUUUGUUUAGUUUUACCUAUUUUUUUCACAUAUUCAAUAAUCAAACUAUCACAAAAGUGUGGGUCUAUAAAAAGAUAAUAGUGAAAAUGGAAGAUUAGUAGUUUUAAUUGAAUUUAAUACACAAAAGAGGAGAAAUAGGUAAUUAAGAAAAGUAAAUAUCAAUAUACUAAAAAGUAAAAGAAAUAUGGGCAAUGGAUUGUUUAUUCAAGCGGGAUUAAGAGAAGCCACUCAUGGGAUGCCACGUGUGAAAGAUCCAUUGCCGACAUUUUGGUGUUAUAUUUGUAGAGGUCUCCGCGUUGGCCGACAUUUCAAUCAAAAAAGUGGUCGGCAGAUAAAUACCACGUGUCGUUCAUCUAAGCAUCCACGUGAAGUUAUUCUUUUUUAUUUUUUGAUUUUUUGAUUUUUUGAUUUUUGUCGUGUAGUGGAAAAUGUGGGAUUUGAGUCCAAAUUUUGAUGCAUGACUUUAUGUAAUAUCUAAACUCAUAUGUGGUUAUAAUUGAUUUAGCCAUAAAUUAAGCCUUUCAAUUUGCACCAUCUAACCCAACUUUAAUUUACAUACUAAAUCUAAUAAAUCAUCUCUCCUUAUUUCAAUCUCAAUUCCCUUUAAUUGCCUCUAUUCUUUCUUUACCUAUAUUUGUUCAUCCUAAUUAAGGAAUUCUCUUAUGUAAGGUAACAAAUAAAAAAAGCAAUAAUCUAAAUCUAAUCAUUCCAUCAUAUAUUAUUUUAGUUUAAGAAUAAAAUAGUAAAAUAGUAAAAAAACUAUAGCAAAUAAUAGGGAGUUUGAAAUAAUAUUUGUAGUAGCUAAUUGAGAGUUUUAAAAUAGUAUUUAUUGUAACUAAAGAUUGUCAGUAUAGUUUUAUAUAAUCCUCGUCCCAAAUGACAUGUAACAUGUGAUUGAAGUAUAAUUAUACACAUUUUUUAAUUUUUUAAUUUUUGAAUAAGUAUUCAUUGAACGUGAUCUCAUCGAUAUUUUAAUUUGGUCGAAAUUUCCAUAGAAGAAAGAAUAUACGAUUAUAAACUUAAUCAAAUCAUUAAAAAAAUAUAGAGUACUAUCUCCAUGAAAAUUCAUGGAUAUCAAUGAUUACACCCACCAAAAGAAGUAUCUAUCUUUUUAUAAAGAGUGUUGUAUUCGUCAGAGUUGAGGUAUCCCGAGUUGUGUUACAAACAGUUUAAUAACACAGAAGAAAAAAAAGCAUAGAUAAAUAUUUAUUCAUGUAAUAAUUGAUCUCCAGAUAUGUGGAAAAAUGAAAGGCAGAUUGAGUUUUUAUGUUUUUGUUGUUUCGUAGUAUUUUUCUUUAAAACGUUAAGAGAAAAUCAAAUAUUGAGUAAAAAGAGGAAAGUAUUGUUUAAGAAUUUAUAUUUUGUUUUUCGUCAAGAGUAUAUAGUGAUAGAAAUGAGAAAAAAGAGAAUUAAAAGGAGGAAAAUUCUUCACGUGAUGAGCAUCGAAUUCCUGGUCCAUGAUAUAUUCUUCAACAUAUAGCCCUUUUACCCUCUCAUAAUUCACUCUUUCUUCAAACUCAAGAUUUCCAAUCUAAACCCUUUUGAUGACUUUAAGUAGUGCUGUGAUUUAUGCACUUACAAUGAUCGUCUUCUUUAUCUCGUAAACAUAGGGUUUUGGUUUUUCUUUUAACAAUAGGGUUUAGUUGGUCAAAUGAGGUUUUGUGUUCAAGUCCAUGCGGUGCGAUACUAUAUUAUUCCCUCUCCAAUUAAAAUUGAUUCACAUGUCGUGUGUCUUCUCACGUAUCGACAUAAUUUAACUUGCUUAAUGAAUAUUAAUUGAGAGAGCAAAUAACAAUGCAAGAAGUUAAACACAUAACUGCGUUUGGACCAUAUGUUGCUCUAACCAUUUUAAAUUGUUGAUUGAUUUAAAAACUUAAGUUAGAAUUAUGUGAAACUUAAACGAAUUUAAUCCUAUAUCAUCUAAACCAUACCGUGCAUUUAUUCAAAAGUGGUAAAGUAUAAAAAAGAGGUAGGGAUUUGAUGUUAGUCAUGCAUAUAUAUAACUUUAUUUUGCUUAGUUUUCACGAUAUUGCUUGAGGCUUCCUCUUCAAUCUUUUAGUCUCUCCCUCAUUAAUAUGUGUAUAUAUAUAUAUAUAUAGACACAACCAAACUUUUUUCUUUUCUUUUCCCUUCUUUUCUUUCAUUAUUAGUACUCUUUUCUUCUUUUGCUUUUUCCUUCUGCUUCUUCUUCUUUCUUUCUCUUCACUUUAUUAUGCUUAUAUGAAUAAAGAAAAAUUAGUGUAUGUGAUUUUUGUUUUUACAACAAAUUAUCUCAAUAUUUAAAUGAAUGAGUUUGACAAUUUUACUCUAGAUUUCUUUUAGGGCGUUUCUGUGUUUGGGUCGUUGGAAUGCUUUUAAUUAGGAUUGGUUGAAUAUAUGCUUGACCAUUCAAAAGUAAGAUUUAUUAUUAUCAACACAACCAACUUGCACCACACAAGGAGAUUGGAAUUUGCCAACACGGCAAACUGCCAGGAAUUUAGCUACAUGUGACGUCGGAAAGGUUAUCGCAACAUUGUUUUAAUCAUCAACAAUUUGGCCAAGGGAGGAGACCCGUCUAGCAGAGAACAAAUGUCGAUGCCUGCCACAUGGUGUUUGGGAGUAAUGCUCAUAAUACACUGACACAAUUAUAUCAUUGGAAGUUAUAUGUUCAGUCCCCUAAUGCCUCUAUGAAGGUAUCAAGAUCUAUUCUAAAUUGUCGACGCUUUAUUUAAUCGUUGAUAGAAGUUGUUUAUCUCAACAAUUUACUUUUGAUGUGUUUUAUGUAUGAUGACAAAUACGUUUUUCUUUUUUCUUUUUAGUAUUGUGCAAGUGUUCAAAACUUAAGUGAAAGAGUGUGUCAUCUCCCAACUCAGUAUCUUUCAUCAUCAACCUAUUUACCCAAUCCUUUUUCGGAACUUGAAUUUGAAUAUUUGGUUUUUACAAUCUGAAAAUGUCUGUUUGAAUCACUAAAAUCUCGUUUAGUAAUUAUUUUAUAUUUAGUAUUUUUUGUUUCGAUAAUUAAAUUUAUUUUUUCUUUUCUUCUUACAAUGAUUUACAACUUUUGAAUUUUUAAUCAAAUUUAAAAAACAAAAACAACUUUUUAAAAGUUACUUAUUUUAGAUUUCAAAAUUGAGCUUAGUUUUUUUAAAACAACUAGUAAAUAGUAUAUAACAAAUAAUGAAAUUUAGAUGUGGAAGUGAUGUAGAUAGACUUAAUUUUCAAAAAGAAAAAUCGAAAAAAUAAGAUGACUACCAAACGAGUCCACAAUUUUUUAUCAAUGUCAUAACCUAAGGGUUCAUAUAACAAAGUAUCUUGGUAUUGGUGAAUGAGUUAAUUUAACCAUAUAGUAACUAAAUCUCCAUCUUAUUUUGUCAAUAUUGGAGUAACUCCAAAUUUUUGUAAGAUUUUUAGUCAUUCAAAUAAUACAAAUACUAUGUAUGAAAAAAAUCAUUAACUCAAAUCACAUAAAUACUUUAUACUAAUACUUGGGUAUAUGAAUUAUUCUUCCAUACAUCAAUUAUCAUACAGUUUCUUUUCCAUAAAAGUACCAUUUAGAUAAUCCAAAAAUUACACCUAUAUAAGUUUGGAUGUAUUUUGGAAAAUCCAUCGGAGGAUGACACUCUGUUAGGGGGAAGGCCCAUUUGUACAAACCCCAAUUUAUUGGGCUUUUAAAUUUUCAACAUCGGCUCAUUUGAACAAGCCCAUCUUUAACUAUAAUUUGGGCUUUCGUAAAAUAAUAAAUAUUGAUAAAACUAAUUAAGGAAACCCAAAUUUUUUGUUAAAUAAUUGUUUGAUGCUAUAAUUGGAGGAGAUUGUGGUUAAAGCUUAUGUAAUUAAGGUAUUGGUAACAAUUGUUUUAUUAUUUAAUUGGUAAUAUUAUAUUAUCUCUUUACGAGAAAAAAUCAAGGUUGCUAGUGCACUAUUUGAAGCAUAUGUAGUCAACAUAUGUGAUGAUAUGUUCAACUAAUAACCUAAAUUUUCUAUAGCAUAUGACUAAAGUUGGAUGGAUUAUCGUAUCAAUACUAUUAUAUUGAUAUUGUCCAUUUUAUAAUAAUUACAAAUGAUUUGACCUAAACCGUUCAUAUGAAGACAUGUGAGUACCAAGGAUAUCUCUGCAGACACAAAUGUUAUAUCUCUCUUUGCAACUUUAUAAAGCGAGAAGAUAAAAAUUAAUAUUUCACAAGACGACAACCAUAAUCCUAAGACAACCAUAAUAUUUCACCCUAUCAUUAGUUCAAGAGAGACUUGAUUUAUAAUUGAAUCUAAAACGGUUGUUCAUAAAAGUCAAUAGAUCUUUUAAAGAUGCAAUAAUAGUAUUUAUAAUUGCAUAAUAAAGUGUUCAUUGUUAUUGAUCAAUAUAUGUAGACAUACCACAUGAACAUAUCUCUUGAAAAAGAACAAAUAUUGUUAAUCAGCGGGUCGCUAACGAGUGACUUGACUUUUUUGUAUCAAAUGCUAAGGAGUGUCCAAACAAUACAUUGAUGUGUCAAAAUAUUUUAACAAACUUUUAAAAAAUAAAACGCCGUAUUUAAAUAAUAGAAUUCAAAAGGGGUAAAAUAGAGAAUGUAAUUUAGUAUAUUUAGUCCUCUUUUUGUUUCUCUAUGAUUGUUAUUUGUAAAUAUAACUUUUCUCCCUCACUAUCUCUUCAAAUCUCUUGAGGAUAUUUCUUUACUUCCUUUCUAUUAGUUCAUAAAUAUGAAUAUAAUUAAAAGUUUGAAAACAGUACUUUUAAUUUAAAAUGAAAAAUAAAAACAAAAACUAUUCCUAUCACUAAAUGGAAAUAAAAAGUUUAUAAUGAUUUUAGUUUAUCAAAUUCCAAAUUCUAGAAUAUUAUUUUUCUAACAAUUUCUCCUUUUCUUUUUCAAUAAUGUAAAAUGAAUAUUUUAUUUUUUAAAAAUAAUUAUCAAGUAAACUUUUCAUCUUUUUAACCAACCCAUAUUAUACAUCAAUUUUACAAUAUAUAUUUUUAAUUUUGAGUGAAGAAGGUAAAAAAAAAAAGGUAAUUAAGAUAUAUUUAUUUUCCAAAAUAGAAAAAAAAAAAAGGAAAAACAAAAAAGAAGAAUGUGUACGGAUCUAAACUCUAUAAUUCAAACCUUUGCUCAAAUGGUGAACUUUUGAAAAAAGAAAAAGCAACAACAUUUACUUAAAAGGAUCCCCAGAUAUAAAGUUUAGAGUAUGAAGUGAUAAUUGAUUCAAUUAAUACUUUUUGUCCAAAGAAAAUAAAACAAAUUGAUUACUUACUUGUUUAAAUCUCCAUCAUUGAAGACUUGAGAAAGUGUUUUAAAAUUUAUAAUGGAAUUGAAAUAUUUUAUAAUGUAAUAGCAUUUUGAGUUUAAAUCGUAAUAUGAAACUCAUUUCAUUUUGACAGUAUGUAAUUAUUGUGUUAUCAACUCAACACACAUUCCAACGUUUAUCUAAUCUAAUUGUGUUGAUUAAUGGGUAUAUAAGAAUCCUUCCUCUCACUUUUACAAAGCAAAAUUAGAAAAAGAAAAAGGCAAAACUUUUGACCUAUUUUUUUUCUUUUUUUUCUAAGGUUUUAUCAAAGAUAAUGCAAUUACUUUUUGGGCCACUAAUUUAGAGGAGAUUUGAGUCACUUCUCAUUAAAAGUAUGUAUUCUCAUCAUGGAAAUUUUUGGGAAGGGUAACAAACUUUCAUUUAGCUUUUUGUUUCCCUUUUUUCUAUUGCUUCAAGGAAAAAGAAAAAGAAAAAGAAAAAAAAAGAUUAGCUUUUGGAUUUUUUUUCCCUUUUUUUCUUUUAAUCUUUCUUUUUAAUUACUUUUGUUUUCUUUUUCCCUUCCUUUUAAUAAAAACAAUGGGAAAAGGAAAAGGUGAAGUGGCUUUCCUAAUGAUUCUAUAUUUUUUAUGGUGUGUUUCUUUAUGUUAUAAUAUGAAAUUGGUUAAAAUAUGGCUUUUCUCUCCGUUUAGUUUUUAUGUUUUACAAGGAUUAAAAAUGAUAUUUUAACCAAUGAAAUUGAUGUUUUGUACUUAGUUCGACAACUCGAUUUUUAUUAUUUAAAUAUUUUUUAGUUCAUCACGGGAGGUAUAAAUUUGAAUAAGGGGUGAAAUUAACGCAAAUUACUCAUGAACUAAUUAAUAAAUUAAACUAGUAAAAACUUGAGCAAAUAGUCACAUAAUGUUACAAUGCAGCUCAUUAGAGAUUGUUCUCUAUUUUGACCAAAAUCUUUCGAAAAUGAAGUAGUUUUGUGUUGUGUUGGUGUUUCAUUGAAUUGAUGUUAAAUGGCCUUGAUUCUUGUGCUAUCUUCCCAACACCCCCACUUACAAAGGCUACUUGAAAAUUAAAUGAGUGAUAAGAUCUUCACAUCCUUUGCUUGGUUGGCAGCUCUUAUAAAUAUUUAAUGAUCCUUUUCCAAAGGGGACACCCACACCCCCCCUUUUCUUUUCUUUUUUUUUCUUUCUACUUUCUUUUCUAAUAAAUAAAUAAAACACACAGUCACUCUCUCACAAAGUCCUUUUCAUUUCAAUGUAAUGUCCCUUUCUCACAGAUAGUAUUUUAUCUCAAUUCUAUUAUCUCCCUCUCAUUUUCAUUUUUUUUUUUUUAUAUAUUUCUACCCUUUCUAUUUUCCCUUCUUUAUGUUUGCAUCUAAUUUAAAUUACUAUAAUGAUAUUUGCUAUGUUCUAUAAAUUAGAUGUUGAAGUUUUGAAUUGUCAUUCUCGCAGUUGGAUAUGCAUUACAUUUGGUUUUAAAAUAGUUAAAACUACUUUGGUUAUAAAGACUAAAACGGGUAUGGUUUUUAUAUGAAUUUUCUGGCAGAAAAAGGUAUGUUCUGAAAGCUCAAAAAGUUCAAAUAAAAUGCAUACAAAUAUUUUACAAAACUUCAUCAACAAAUAGAAUAAACCUAAAAGUUAUGUAAAACCUAGUUGAAAAUAGAAACCCCCAUCAAAGAUACAUUGCUGUUCUCAGUUAGUGGCAGAGGCAAUGGAAAGAAUAGAAAUGACAGAUACUAAACUGUGGAACAAAAAAACACAUCAUAAACCUUAUGUACCAAAUUUCUUCCGAGCUUUCAGAGAUUUAUAAACAGCUUUUAAGAUUAAAAACAAAAAAUACAUUUUUAUGUGCUCUGAUGGAAAAUCUAUAAAAGAGAAUAAAAGCUUCCAGUUUUUGCUUCCAAAAUUUGAGGAGUAUCCCUAAAAUGGCCUUUGCUAUCUGCAUUAGUUGUUUCUGAAGUUUCAAAAACACUACCUUUCGAAAUGUUUUCCUUUGGAUAUGGAUGAAUUCCAAAUGUGGUCCAUAUAGGACUCCUUGAAGCCUCGCUUGGGUUAUCCACUCGUAACGUCUUUGGAACCACCACGCAUUUCUCUGACUUCUCGUCCUCUGCUAGGCUGUUUGUAUCUCUCAAAUGCUUACCGAGUGUAGGCGAUGAGCUUGUGGGGCAGGUGGAUGUUUGAGAUGCACAGACAUCAGAAGGAACAACGGUUAAAUUCCCAGUACCGGUAGAAGUCCAUACGGGCGUACAACCCCAGCAUGAGGCUGGGACGAAUUGUAAUGGAAGGCUUGGAGUGCAAAACCCUGGAACUGCCAGCACUGUUGCUGGGAGCCAUUGAACUGGUGGAUUGGGAUGACUGCUAGUAUUUGGUACACUUGUGCUAUCUGAGCUUUGGGUCAUUGCUGAUGAAAUUAGGCUGCUUCCGCCCUGAUUCAAUGGAAAAACCAAUUGUGGAACGGGGUAACAAUGAACCGUAUUUGAUGCAGUGAUAUCACUACUAGAGUUGGACAAUCUAACUGCCUCUGGCCUCUCGAUGACACUUUUAGGCAAUUCGUUUCCACGAAUACUAGUAGUUGUCAUGGAAGAUCCGCAUGAGGAUGGUUCUUCAGGACUGUCUCCACAAUAUGCAGACCCAAUCUCAAUGGAUCUCUUCUGAUCUCCAAGACUCAGCACAGUCUCCAUCGAUUCACAAAGUGGUGCUUCGGGUCCAAACUUUAGGACAGUACUACUUCCAUUGGAAGGCCUCAAAGCAGAAGGAGACUCGAUAUUCGAGAGUAGAUGAUGGUGAUUUGUUGCAUCCGAAGUUUCCAAGCGGGUUGUAGCAACUCCCUCGGAGGAUACUAUUAUCUGUCGGUAUUGAGAUGCCAACUGCUUGUUUCUUCGUCGUCCAGCACCAAUAGGAACGUUUCUCAUCGUCCCACCAGCAGUCCAAUAUCUUUGGCAGUUCUUGCAGAAAUGCCUAGGUUGAUUGACAUUAUAGUUGUUGAAGUAACAAAAUUUUGUUUCCAAACUAUUACAUCUAGGACAAGGAAUGAUUUUGUCUGGCUUCUUAAAUGCUCUUUCUUGAUCCGUGCCAUUACCAUCCUCCUGCUCUUCUUUCAAAUGUAGUUCUGAUUCUCCCUUGUUUGACGUCACGUUCGAAGCUUGGUUUUCUUCAUUAUCCCCUACCAAUACCGAAGACCUCUCUGAUGGGCAAGAGUCUUCUGCACCUGAGACUGACUGCUCAGCUUUUUUCAAAUUGUUGCAAGCAUCCUGAAAACAGUAUUCAACAAAUUGACACUUAACAACAGUCAGAAAAGAGAAGCACACAAUCGACAUACGUCGAAAAAAAAGCCAAGAAGUGUAUCAAAAUCUACAAGGAGAUGGGAUUUUACAAAACAAGACCUCAGAGCCCUUCCCAAAUAAGGUAAAAAUUACAUUCAUUCAAGAAAGAUAGUACAAUAUGCAACACGAAUGAAAAGAUACAAGGAAACAUGAUAUAAAUGAACAGAACACUUCCAUUAAGGAAUCAAUCUUCAUCAAACAUUUUCAGCAGCUCCAGAUAUUCACAAGAGAACUUCAUUUAACCCUCAAUGGAUCCACUACAAACUGAACCAAAAAAACCAUCUGAAUUCCACAUUCAAAUUUGGCUAAAAACAGUUCUCCUAAUGAACUUCUUCCAAAACCACAAAGUUGGGAAAGGAACAGUAAAGUCAACCAAGGCCACAAAAACAUUACAAGAACAAAUCUAAACAAAAUCAUAUAUUGAAGUUAAAACCCAAUAAGGGCCCCAACCCAAAUGCUUAGAGAACCCAAAAAAACAUAUACACACAAUGAAAAGAAGAGUUGAAAUGAGAGUAGAAGAGGGGGAAAGAGACAACUCAAUAGAAGAAGAAGAAGAAGAAAAAGAAGAAGAAGAAGAAGAAGACCAAGAAUAUGAAUAAGACAGUUAAAUGAGCAUUUCAAUAAUCUUUUCCAUGUCCCACAAACACACACACACACACACACACACACAGUAAAGGCAUUUUUCAGAUUAAACCCAGAAAGCAAGAAGCCAUCAAAAUAAAGAGAGAAUGAAGGAAAGGGGAGGAAAUAAAAUAGGUACCGGAUUAUGAAGAGGGGCGGCGGAAAUCUGGGAUUCCGGCAAAGGGAUGGUCCGACCGAAGAGUUUAAUGGCGAGAUCCUUGAAAUGUGGGGGGGAAAUGACAUCCUGUGUAGUAGAACUGGACAUUUUGAAAAAUGGGUUGUUAAUGGAGAGUAGUUUGAUUGAGAAAGUGGGAAGGUUUGGAGGUGAAAAUCAAUGGAAGAAGACCCAUUCAAAUAUAGAGAGAGGUUAUGAAGGAGGGAGAAGGAGAAGGAGAAGAAGAAGAAGAAGAAGAA
This 58571-nucleotide long non-coding RNA is filed under the name Cucumis sativus (cucumber). RNAcentral's name for it is "long non-coding RNA (CSAT_LNC001269)". The record is from RNAcentral. Lineage: Eukaryota; Viridiplantae; Streptophyta; Magnoliopsida; Cucurbitales; Cucurbitaceae.